This 57130-nucleotide long non-coding RNA is filed under the name Panax ginseng (ginseng). RNAcentral's name for it is "long non-coding RNA (PGIN_LNC010445)". The stretch from base 34367 to 34488 matches the Rfam family "MIR6135 microRNA precursor family". The record is from RNAcentral. Lineage: Eukaryota; Viridiplantae; Streptophyta; Magnoliopsida; Apiales; Araliaceae.
ACACAUUAAACAAUGACCCACUUUUCUUUGUCUUGUAGACUUAAACAAAUGAAUUUAUAUUAUUUAUAUAAAAUUAUAAACCAGUUGGAAACCUUGCAAUUUAAUCAUUUUAUAUAUAGUCCCUUGUCAUAUAUAUAUAUAUAUAUAUAUAUAUAUAUAUAUAUAUAUAUAUAUAUAUAUAUAUAUAUCAUAUAUAUCGAGGGAAAUACAAGACAAGGUACCAAAUCAAAUCCCCAAAUACACUCUCUGUGUUCACAAAAUAAUUAGAAGAGAAAUAUGGCUUGUUUUAAUUCUUGUCUGUUGUUGAUGCUGAUUUUGGUGGUAAGUAUUGUUUUUACGACAGAAGGUAGGCUACUGUCUUCUUCCUCCUCCUCCUCCUCCGUCCUACUUAUCUCUCAUGACGGGAUAAAUAUGGAUAUGGAUAUGAAUAAAGGAAUUAGAUACUCAAAGAUUUUGGCAACGCUGGGAAUGGUUUGCAAAUGUUGUGAUGAUGGUGAUGGAGGAGACUGCAAAGCUACAUGGGUUGAACCUUGUUCUAAUCUCCAAUGUCAUGCAUGGAAGCAGCAGCUACAUUGAUUGAUCAUCUUUUGUAAUACUAAUAUCUACACAUAUUUGGCAUUUUACUACAAGUUUGUAGAAUGAAACACGAGAUAUCGAUGAUAAUAUUUCUUUUUGUUCUUUUCUAGUGCCAUGUAUGCAUUAUAAAUUUUGUAGUGUGUAUUAAAAGUUAUAAAUUUAUGCUACAACUUCCUUUAAUUUUAGCCCUUAGUUUUGGAAUUUUCACUUGAUCUCCUACUGAUUUCUCAGGAUUAAUUAGUCCAUUUAUGUAUUUUUAAUUGCUUUCAUUCUUAGUAAAUGGUUGUAAAGAGAACAUUGUUUUGAAUAUGUGCAAGCCCUCUUGAAUGAUAUCAAGGAUGGUGACAAGUAAGAAUGUUGAAUGAGUGAAAGAUAAGUGCUUAAAUCAUGCAUGACAAUAUAAUGUUGACUUUUGAAGUCUUAAUUAUCAUCUAAGCUUUUUAUAUUUCAAGUAUUUUGUAUUCAUCUGUCCCGUGACAAAUUGCAAAUUUAAUCUCUAUUGCAUGAUUGGGACCGAGUGGAAAAGACGUGAUUCAGUUUGCCAUUGCCCCAGCUAACUAGUAGUUAGCAUUCCCUCUAGCUAGAAGACUUGAUAAUAGGAUCAUUGACUUAGCAAAGGUUUCAUUCAUGUUCUGUACUACAACACUAGUAGUUGAAUUAUUAAUUAGACUGUGGUUAACCUUGAUUACUGGCAUACAAUGUGCCAUAUAUAUUAGAAGAGGUAAGAACCCACAUGCUCUUUUUUGUUUUUUUCAUUAUUUUUUUCUGAACUAGUUAGACGAGAAGAAAGCAUAAAUUUCUGCUAUAUUUGCUCAAGACAAAUAAGAUACUUCUGUUGUCCAUUCUAGUUCACGGAUCCGGAUCGGAUUCGGAUUCGAUUAUUACGAAAUUAACUUCAUGGUAAAUUGGUCAAUUAAUUAAUACAGUGCUAACACGCAGAGAGAUCACCUCUAAGUUUGCGUGUCGACACUGUAUUAAUCAAUUAAUUGACCAAAAUUAACUUCAUGUUAACCACUCUCUCACUUGACCUUUAAAAAAGAUUGCGGGAUUCCUUGAAUAAUUAAAUUGCAACCUCAUUAUCUGACCCAAAAAUUUAUAUUUUAAGACACGUGUAAAAAUAUAAUUUUUUUUAAUGUGAAAAUAUCAAUUUAUAUUUUAUUACCUAAUCAAAAUAAUAAGAAAAAAAAUGACUUCUUUAACAGUUUUGGACCAACAAAUGUGUUGUAUUCAAUUACUAAAAAUUAUGUAUGGGGACUUGUGACUCAUAAUUGAGAAGUUUUUGAGAAAGGUCUAGUGCAGAGCAUAGCGGAGUGAUGCAAUGGCCCGUUGUGAACCAAAGGUACAGAGCUUCUGCAGGGGUAGCGCGGGGCGCGCCAGUACAGACUUGUGAGUAGCGCGGGGCACGCCGCUGGCAAUCUAAAAGUGGCGCGGGUCGCGCCGGUCGACAGACAUAACUUUUAUGGUUUGAUAUUUACAAGGAUAUUAUGAGUAUUUAGGUUAUAAUAUGAAUUAUGGUUGUAAUAGAAGUAGUAGUUAUAAAUAAUAUCUACUGUAAAGCCCCUAAGGAACUCUCAAAUUAAAUAACAAAAGAAACACCGUACCCGUGGACUAUUUAAAUUGAAGAACCAAAUAAAUUUCUGUAUUAUUUUUUUAAUAUCGUGUGUGAUUUAAUUCUAACAUUAUAUUUAAACAAUAUUGAGUUUGUAUUAAUAUAAGUUUGCAAGAGAUUGAUUUAAUAUAAGUUUGUAGUAUUAAACCUUGCUAAAAGUAGGAAAUUUUCAUCACCCACGCGGCAGCCCACUUUAAUUUCUCUCUUUUCAAAAAGGACUUCCGUGAACAUAUAAUUUACUAGCAAGCAUGUGAUUGCUUAUAAGUUAUAUAAUAGUAGUAAUUCUUAUAUUCUCUAAUCUCUAUAUAUGCUUUUUUGACUUUCUGCUAGCUUAGCUUAGCUUAGCUUAGCUAGCCGAUCAUCAGCUGAUUUUGUUGCGUCUACUGUGCUUAUAAUUGAACUACUUAUCCAUUCCCUCCAUAACCAUAUAAGUAAUAUAUACCGGAUGAUUUGGUGGAAUUUGACAUUUGUGUAUUUAAAUUUUGAAACGAAAAUAUGUAUAAUUAAUAUUACUUUUAGAUUAUGUACAAUAUUUAUGAAUGGAUUGUAUUAACUACAAUCAAAGCAUUUUAAUAUUUAAUGAAUUUAUAAUUGAAUUUAAAAAAGAUAAAAUGAGAUUAUUAUUUUUUUAAUUUGAAUGUUGAACUAAUGAUAUGCUAGCUAUAAAAGGGGAGAUAAUCUUGUGAUUAAGUUUUAACCACAUGAAAAUUUAAAAUAGUCCUUCUUUGCUUAAUGAAUGAAUGAGCUACUACUACUACUAGGUAUGUAUCGAUCUUGUUUUAUUAAUUUUUAUUCGUCUAAUUAAUUAAAGUUAUGCUCUAAACGUCUAAUAAAGCUUAAUUGUGAAUUGUAAAAACUUAAAAAGGGGCAACAGAAAUAGAAGCGAAAGAGAGUGUGGGUGGGGGAUCUGAUUAGCAUGAAGUUUAUUUUUUGUUAAAUAAUUAAUUGACCAAUAAAAUAUUGACACACAUAAAACUUCGGAAUACUGACAACAUAAAAUCUUGUCUUCGUAUCAGUACUUUAUUUAUUAAUUAAUCAAUUUAUCUAAAAAUAAACUUUAUGAUAACUACUUUUCUAGAUGGGAGGGGCCACGUAGAAAAUAUAAAAGGUAGGGGGUAGGGGAUAGGGGGUAGGGGUAGGAGUAGGGGUAGGGCGUAGGGGAUAGGGGGGCCGACGACAAAACCAUGUGAGGUGGCCUCACACGUUAAUGUUAAUGCAUGCGCGGCGACUCUCAGUGGCAUCAGGCACCCCACUCCCUCCUUUCUUGUAUUGAAUCGUAAUUUCGACCUUCAAUUUUUCCCAUUCUUGUCAAUCUCAUUCAUUAAUUGACCUGACCGGAUUUUAUUUCUCCCACUCACUUCCAAUUUAAUUAACUGUUCGUUCUCAUUUGAGAUAAUUGUCCAAAUAGGAAGUAUUAGUAGUAGUCAUAACUUUUUUCCCCCAUGUAACCAUAUCUUAAAAUUCUGUGACCCAGAGAGAAGAGAAGAGUUCGGGGAGGGAGAGGAAGGAAAAGUCAGAAAUGGGUAUGUAGAUAGAGAGAAAGGGAGAGUAGGGUAUGGGGAUUGUAUCCACUUGGAGGAAUUCGUGGCAGUAAAAGGAUGGAGGUCCCACAGUUCAACACGUAUUUCUUCUAGGUGGCACAAAAACAUUUGGAUUUUCAGUUCAUUUCUAUAAAAAUAUAAUUGUAGCAAGUAAGUAUAUUUUUAUGAUAUCUUCAAUCAUCCAUACUUGCUUCAGCCCCUGUUCCACAUUUUAAACUACAUAUGGAUAGAGUUUACAUUAUAAUAAUAAUAAUAAUAAUAAUAAAAGCAUAUGGAUAGAGUUUAGCUACGUAACCCCAAUAUUUUAUGUCGGAUUGUAAUUAUAAUAUGAAUUAUAUAUAUAUAUAGUUGUGUAGUAUACAGUCGUGCUAUGACGAUAAUUUUUUUGGACUAUAAUAACUGUACCGUCGUUAUAAAUCAAAAUAUUUAUAACUCAAAAAAAUCAUCGUCAUAACCCAAAAAACUAUCGACAUAGUAUUUACCUAGCAUAAUAAUCAGAUAUAUAGUCAAAAAAUAUAUAAUUUUUAUAUUUACUAGACUAAAAGACAAAAUGCACCCCAAACUUUAUACCGAUGUUAAUAUUUGCACCCCAAAGUGAAAAAGGUGUCUAAAUACACCCCAUACUUUACUUAUGCGAAACAGAUUGCACACUUUGCUGAUUUAACCGGUCACUUUUGACCGGCUAAGGCUGUAAAUGUUAUUACAGAAGGGUAAGGUCGGUAAUUUAUAUUUAUUGACUAGUUUUUCCCUUCUCCAACUUUCUCUCUCUUCUCCAUACCCAACUUUCUCUCUCUUCCAUAACAAUUUCUCUCUCUCUCUCCUCCAUAACCAACUUUCUCUCUCUUAAACAAACACCCAUUUCCUCUCCCUCUCAAUGAACAUCAACUAUUUGUGAGGCUUUCCCCUUUGAACUACACCUUCCAAAACACUUGCUCAUCUUUUUUUCUUGUUUCCUCACAAAUACCCAAUUCACACAAUCAAACCACCUACUUAAACUCAGCAACCUUAUUCUCAAACUGCCUAUGUGAACUGCUACAAUCCUCCACCAUUUUCCGCAAGUUCUCUUCCUUCACAAAAUCAAGCAAACACUUGCGGGCCAACACUAAUUGUUAUAACCCCUGGGAUCUCCCUGUCAACCACAAAAUCAGCAUAGAAUGGAGACGCCAGCAUAUAAUUUGUAGCAAUUGAGAGAUCCAGAUUUUCGUAGGCCAAAUUUCCAUUCACAUAAACAUUAAAAUAAAGUCUUUUUGACAUGGAACAUUCUCAAAUGGUUGUACAAUUAAGUGCAGUCAAAUAAGGAUGAAGGAUUCCAGAUCAUGAACAUUCUCAUUCAUACAUUGUCUGGCAUACGUAACUAUUCAAGCAUGAUUUUUAAUAAAGACCCAACACAACAUGCAGGUGGAAAUUUAUAGCCAUAGCACCAUCUUCAUACAAAACACAUGUAAAAGGUUCUUCGGCAACAUUAAUGCACGUAACAGGACUCCGCAAUUCCAAACUAGAAAUGCAGUCAUUCAACUCGACAAUAUGAUAAUCAUUUUAUCUCAUAUAUGAUAUAAUAUGACAGUAUUAUCUAGAAAUAAUAAACAAAGACGCAUAUAUAAAGAAUCACACAAAUUGCAAGGAUGCAAUUAUAGAAGAAUCCUUUCACCGUAUUACCAAAAUAGAGAUGCAGAAAGCACUAAGCAGAAUGUUCAAUAGAUUAUAAUCGAGGCCCUGAACAAAGAACAAAAAGAUGCGUAUGUCGUAAUACUGUUUCUCAUUAACUUGCUCAUUUUUCUCAGAAUUCACAAGCAGACCCACAUCAUACUGUUUUGCAACACGGCCGAAAAUUUCAUAAACUUUCACAGAAUCAGAGACAUCAAGCUCCAUAAAUCUAUCGAUUAAGAUACCCAAAAUCUCUGCUAUGUCGUAAUAUAACUGGAAACUUUCUUUCACUAUUGGGUAUAGAGCGACAAUGACAAUUCUGUUACUCUUCGCUGCACCUGUAUGUAUGUAUAUUUCCAGAUAUAUAAAAAUGUUUAGAAGGCGUGUUCCUCGCCUAGUAGCAAAGAAAAUUCUGCAUAAGUUCAUUACCCAAAAACAAAACCAAAUUCAUCAAACCCACCACAGAUUCAAACUUACCCACUAUCAAAACCCAGCUCAAUAAGCUCAAUUCCACCUCAAAACCAUCAAAUUCAACCAAACCCACUUCACAUACCUCAAACCCAAGACCCAAAAACCAAAGAUCUAACCAAACCAACCACACCAAAGAUCAAAACAACGAAACCCAUUAUUAUUACCAUAGACCUCAAACUCAAGACUCAAAAACCAAAAUAACCCAGUUGGGUAGACGAGGAUGAUUUAGAUUCUGAUUUUUGAAAGCUUAAAGGUUCUUCUUCAGACGCUUCAGAUUCUCCUUCAUCGGAGCAUGGAUUCCUGUUUCUGAUCUUCUUCCUCCUCAUCGAUCGAGACUUCUUCCUCGAUUUCGAUCGACUUCUUCCUCUUCUUCAGACGUUUUAUGUUUUGACAGUGACAAGAAUUGUUCCGGUUCAAUAUAGGAGAAGAUAAGGAAAAGACUUGAAUACCCUUUUAAAUUCCUUAGCCGGUCACUUUUGACCGGUUAAGUGCGUAAAAUGUGCAAUCUGUUUCGCAUAAGUAAAGUAUGGGGUGUACUUAGACACCUUUUUUACUUUGGGGUGCAAAUAUCAACAUCAAUGUAAAGUUUGAGGUGCAAUUUGUCUUUUAGUCUAUUUACUAUUACUUGUAUUAAAAAUCAACAUAUUUUUAUGAAAUUGUAAUAUAAAUAAUAAUAAAAAAACUUAUAAAAUGACUAUUUAGACGUGUUGAGAUGGGUUAAGAAAGAGGAUUCUUGUUCUUGAUAUUACCCCGGGUGAGUAACCGAAAGGGAUGUGAUAUUUGCCUAGCGUUUUUAAAUAUUUUUGUAUAUGGAAUUCACUAUUUAAUAUUAAAAAAAAUAGACUCCACAUAUAAAAAUAUUACGAAAAUAUCAAUCCACUCCACAUACACAAAUAUCAAAUUAACAAAAGUGGUUAGCAUAAAGUUUAUUUUUGAAUAAGUUGGAGUGUUGAUAGGCUCAAUGUGUGUCAAUAUUUUAUUAAUCAAUUGAUUAACUUACCAAAAAAUAAAUUUCAUACUAACCGAAUCCCAAAUUAACGCUGACGAAAUAUCACUUACUGAUACUGCACUUGCUUGCCAUCAGUAUAUAUCAUAUGAUAAGAUCAACUACACCAACAAACGCAGAGAUAAGUAAAUAUAAACCUGCAGAAAAGUGAAAUAUAUCGAGCUAUGCCCAUAUAUAUACACAUUAUAUAUUUUUUUAUAGAGAGAGAAGGAUAUUGACGGCAUCCCAAGGGAGAGGUGAAAGUUAUGUAUUAAUAAGUACUGAGAGAGAUGACCUUCUAAUUUACGUAUCGAUAUUAUAUUAUAAAUUUAUAAAAAUUAACUUCAUGUUAAUUAUUUCAAUCUUUCACGUGUCAUUUUUCCGUACUCUCUCUCUCUUCUUUGACGGUGGCUUUUUGCUUAUAUAUAUGCAAAACCCCCUCUCCACCCCUUGUUCAUUUCUUCCUUAGCAGAGCUUAAUUUCAUAUACUACAAAUAUACGAAAUAUCAUAUAUAUAUAUAUAUAUAUAUAUAUAUACGUAGAGAGAGAGAGAUAUGGAGGGGGGGAAACACUCGGGUUCAUCGUCAUCAUCUUCUUCCUUUACUUCUGAUCUUUUUGGUUCCAAAGACCCCUUUUCAUCUUCAUCAUCUUCUGGGAUUUUUGGCUCUAUCUUUGCCCCUAAUUCGACCAAGGUAUUACUAUUACUACUCUCUUCAAUUAUCAUACAAGGGUUUUAGAAUAUAAGUCUUUUCAUUUCAGUUUGGGUUUUUUUCUGUUCAUUUUAUUGUCUCUUCUGCAUUUAUAGCAUGAUUCUUUAUAUUUAAUAACCGUUUUCUGUUAAUGGGCAACAUUUUAAUCUUUAUACUAUAUGUAGACUACUUUUCUUCUCUGCUAUAAGUUCUUUUUUUACUUUUGCUAAGCUAUAGAAGCUUUCUAAAUUUGAUAUUGUGAUUCUUGAUGGAGUUCUUUUCAACUUCACCAAAUUGGGUGGAAAGCAAGCAUUUGAGGUUUAAGGAGUAAUUUAUUUUAUGGGUUUUGUAUUGUAGCUCACGCUGCUUACCUAAUUAGGAAAAAAGACAAAGGCUGAAUUCAGUUUUUUCGUUUAAUUUUGAAAAUUGUCAACCAUUUAAGUGAAAGUAAAACUUGCAAUUUGAGUGAGGUGAUGUUGUGCAUGUUAAUGUGAAUCUUGCCUUUUGAGUUUCUUUCUAAAGUUGGUAUUUCUCUUGGUUUUCAUGGACAUGCACUUGUUUCCAUCCACUCCUCUUCAAUUUGUGUUGUAUGAAAGGUUUAUUCAGUUUAAGAUUGGUUCUGUUUCAGGUUUUGGGAAGGGAAUCCCUGCGCUCUGAUGCAGUUGACAAGAAGAAAGACUCUGCAAGGCAGGCUUGGAUUGCCAAACCUGUAGCUCCAGGUUUGUGAAGUCCAAGAGUUCUGCUCUGUACUUUGUAAUUCCUUUUCUCUUUUAUUCACACUGCAGGGUGUAAUUCAAUUUGUGUCUGCAAAAGAUAGUUUCUUUCUUGUUAAAUUCAUUUGUUGAAUUAUUGAGUAAUGGGAGCUGAAUCUUAUCCCAUUCCCCCCUUUAGUUAUCAUGCUUACAAUUUAAUAUUGAACCACAAGGCCUUCACCAACUUUUCUUAUAGUUUGGGUAUUCUUUUGCUAGACAAAGGAGAGAGAUUUUCUUUUUCGAGUAGUCAUAGUAGAUAAAUUUUUGUAAAUGUUUGUGGCUGAAUUGAGAUUCUUUAGUGACAGCUGACCAUAUUUAGGUAAGAAAAUCUUUUUAUUGUUUUUAAGAUUUUUAAGAUAAAGUUUUAUUAUUUGCUUUAUCUUACUUUGUUGCUCUAAAGUAAAUCAAUUACAAGCCCAUUUGUUUUAAUCUUUGUAUAGGUCCUUUUUGUUGGAAUUAAUAACGAAAUACCUGUCAACUCUUUAUGAUGCAGUUGUUUUUAACUAUUCCCUUUGAUUAUAUACAAUUCAAUGAAAAUUUUGCUUCCAUGAUCAAUAUUUGGCUGCAACUCAGAAGCAGCUUGUUCGUCUAUUGCAUUAAUAUUUCUAAAUUUUUAUUUUGAGAAUUCAUUAAAUUUUAUUUCAUACUAUGUUUUUUGGGAAUGUCUUCUAAACUUUUAAAGUGUUAAGUCAAUACUUGGACUGAAGUUGGCUUUAAUUACUUUUCAGAUGCCAUCCCUCGGAGCAAGGAAGGUGAAAGCCAUAGCCCAUCAAAGAAGGACAUGAGUUCAUUUUAUAAUGAACAAAGGAUACAACCAUGUCAUCUCAGCUCAUCGAUAUACUAUGGCGGUCAAGACAUUUAUUCUACUCCUCAUACUACACACAGUUCUGAAUACUCAACUGUGAGUUUUUAUUCUCACUAGUUAUAUGAUUCCAUGUUGCAUUACACUUUGAGUACAUUUCUUUGUAGGAUUCUGUAAAUAAACAUCUAAUUUUGCUACGAAUGAGAUCAUACAUCAGAUUAACUAGUCACCAAUUCAUCUUGGGUAUAUUAGGAAGAUAACUGUCUUUCAAGCAGAAUUUUAUAUGCGGAAAAUUAAUUAAAGUUCUUAUAUGUCUUCUAUCUAUUGAUAAUAGUUUUUUAUUGUUUCAUUAUUAACGAUAGGAAAAAAAAUCCAAGUCUUUCCUGUUGUGAAAAUGCUCAGUUCUAGAUGAAUAUUAUUGGAAGCUUCAAUUGAUGUAUUACAUUCAAGAUUAUGCUAACAAAAUUGUGAUCUCAACAGUUCAAUAAAGAUGGGGGAGAAGAUGACUCUGGCAGUGCUUCAAGAGGAAACUGGUGGCAAGGUAUCACUCUGUAACUGUUCAAAAAAAUAAGAAAAAGGUGUAUGGAAUUGUUGUUUUGACUACUUUUUUUAUUGUCCUGAAAGGUUUGUUGGUCUAAUUGUCUUUUGGCAGGGGGGCUGUAUUACUAAGAGCGCAUUGCCCAUGGCUUGUGGAUGUCUAUUAUAGUUAACUAGGUAUGUUGAUAUUGAGAUGUUUUUUGAGAAAAAUGUUGUAUGUUUUUUUACCUGUAAAUUAAUCCCAUUUCCGUCACACUUCAAUGCUCCCUUUGUUCCAAAAUAUAGCAUCAAUAUAAAAUUUUCAAGUCAAUUUGAGAUAUUUUUACAUUCAAAAUUGAUUUAAAUUCAUUUAAUUUUAGACGAUAAAAUUAUGAAAAUCAUAAAAACUAUCUAAAAACUACUACUAAUUACAAUAUUUUUUACUUUUAAAAAAGUUGAAUGAAAUUGAGUUUAAAAAGUCAAUAUUGAUUUAUAUUUCGGAACGGAGGGGAGGGAGUAUAAGAUAGAGUUAUGCUUGUUUAUUGUAGACUUGAAUAUGUUGACAUUUGUAAGCUCUUUGAGUUCCUGUCUGGUUUUAUGUUGGUAAACAAUUCACAAUUGUCCCAUAAGAAAAAUGUUGAUUACUGUAAAAUAGGAAUAAGUAAUAGAGAAGAAAUUUUUUGUAGAGGAAAAAUUGAAAUAUUACAAUCUAUAGAAGCUCGCAAUAAAAGAAAGGAAAGCAAUAACAUGUCUAGGAGUCCAGGAGAAGAGUUUCAACAAAUUAUUGUUGGUGAUUUGAUUUCUCAUUUGAUGCUCUUUUCUCUUUGGCCUAAUUGUAGGAUUAUAUUGUUCUUGCUGAUUGUAUUCAUGCAGGAAGCUAUAAAGUAGAAGGUCGCAGUGUAUUUUACCUUGCAGAUGAUGUAUGGAUAGUACCAAUUUGCAGAUGGAGACUGUUGCUUCAUUUGCAGUGUAUUUUUGUAUAAAGUAUAAUGUACUUGGUGAUAUUACUGUAAAUGAUGUUAAGUUUAGAGACUCGACACGCCUUACUGUGUGAUGAAUAAGUUAUUGAAGUAGGCCAUAAUCAUCUUUUAUUUAAACUUACCAUCGGGUUUCCUCUUAUGUUAAUUAGUAGACGUGUAGAAGACUUUUGCACCAAACUGUGAGAAUUUCACAAUCAAAUUGGAAUUGUUGUAGCAUCUUUGGCCUGGUAAAUCUCGAAGCUCAUUUUGGCAUGGAUUCUUUUUUCCGAUGUGGGACUGGAGUGUUAUAUGAAAUGCCGAAAAGGGUAUUAGCCAUUGACGUGCCAUUUGUUAGGAACUACCAAAUCACCCAGUUGAAAUGACACUGGAUUAUCAAAGCAUAAUUACUUUCUUAUCUAUUCAACAAUGGCCUUUGUCCUUCAUCAUCAUCAUCACCACCUCAUGAAGGGAUGUUGCGGGACAGCAAUCACAAUUAUCUUGUUACGAAUUUAUCCAACUGUUUGUCUGAAAGCUGUUGAUUUUUUGUGCAAUAUCUGAUGCUAUCUUAAUCUGAUCUUUAGAAAUGUGGCUAUUCUCCACCCAGCCAUGAGCCAACCAACCAACUUGCAUGUGGAUAUGGAUACAAUAAGAAAGGGCGUUAAUGGUCAAUAUCGAAUCUUUCUAAGAGGUUGUUUCCGUUGGUUUCCGGUUGUGCUAAAGAUGAGCAAAGAUUCUGGAGCCACAUGUUGGCAGGUUUGUGCCUAAUCUCGAUGUCACAUUCAGUAUAUGUCUCUGUUGUUUCUGGUUUGUUAAUUCAAUUAUUUUAGCUCCAUGGUUUAUAUCAUUUUUAUUUUAUUUUUUAAUAAUAUAGAGUUUUCCGACUGCAGUCGGACUAAUCUCCCCACCCCGGCUCGCUCGAAGGCCCCAUUGCCACAAAUGCUGGGUUAUAUAUAUCACUUUUCACUACUUGUAAACAUAACAUGAUUAAUUGAGAAAGGGUUGCGAUUUAUUAGCUAACAAAUCAAUGGCUUACUAAUAUGUAAUCAAUCUUUCUAAUUGGGGUAAGGUUGAUUUAACCAAAGACCUCUCUAAGUCUAUAAUGUUAUGCUGCAAAAGAAAUAAACAAAUCUAAAAAUGAUAGCGCCGUUGCCGGGGAUCGAACCCGGGUCACCCGCGUGACAGGCGGGAAUACUUACCACUAUACUACAACGACCUUUUGUUCUCAAGCUCCGUCUAUUUUGGUCAAGUUGGAUUUUACUGAAUAAUGGAUAAUAGACAAGGCAUAUACAAUAUUCUUGGUUUUUCCUUAAUUAAAUACCCUCUCAAUUCUUUAAUUUUGGGAAAUGAUAUUACUAGCUAGCGUAAAAGUUUUAAUUUUUUAUUUGGUUGUGUAAUUGUUAAUAUUAUUCAAAAUAUAUUACGAUCAUAAAAUGCAAAAUAUUUGUACGGUCAUCAACAAUAAUACAUUCCCUUCCUUUCUAGCUGAAAAUAAUUCACUGAUACAAAAGGGGGCUUGAUAUUUACUGCAUUGGAAUUACCUUUCUAGCGUGAAUGGUGUAUGUAGUACAAUUGCACCAUAUGUACGUAAAUUACGUAGGAAAGGUAAAUACCAUUUAAGAAAAGCCUAUUAAAUGAAGGUUAAUUGAAAGUACAAAAUAAAAAAUAAAAAAAAUGCAUGUAAUAAUUUGGCAUCCAGUGUGAAAAUCCUAAAUCAUUAGUUUUGAAUGGAAUAGGCCAAGAUAGUAGUGUUCCUCUUUGAAUUUAAUCUAUAAAUUCACCAUAUUAAUCGGUCAUCUUUCCUCAAAGUUGAGCCAGUUCAAUAAGAUGAGACUUUAAAAACACAAAAACAAAACUUAGAACACGUAUAAGAUAUACAAAUCAAUCAGCUUACUACCUCUAAGCAACUGCUGAAGAUGUAGUAUCAUAAUUAUUUGGCAGUUCCAAAUGUACAUACAACCACAUCAAAGAAAAGUAUGCAUGAAGAAGAACUCUUGAGAACCACAGAGAAAAUCAAUUCCCAACUGAGCCAUGUAAGUCGUAGCUGACAGCUUGUUUAGAGUACUGGAAGGAUUCUACUGCUGCUUGGGAUCCUGAUGAUGCUUCUCGAACUGCAUUUGAACAUGAACUCGAUCUUCCAAGUUGAUUACCAUAGUUCUUCCUUUUUGUGUCAAUACUUAGAUAGUCUGUCAAAACCUUUUUCACACCAAACCCACGAUGGGGAAGCAUGCUGCCAUCAACGAACGAUGAUCUUUCCCUCUUUCCAGGACUAACUAGCUGUGUAGGUGAAAAUCGUGGCAUGGUAAAAGCUGUUUUAUAUGGAGUGCUGGAGAUUGGUACUGUGUAUGGAACCCCAACACUCUUGUGAGUCAUUACACCAACUUUAGAAAUGGGCAAGAACUGAUCUGAAUGCUUUGUCAAGUCAUCCACAUAAAGAAGGUCGUCAAUACGUGCCACAAUGUUGAAUGCUAGGCUCUCCAAAACUCUAGAGUAGCUCUCUAAAAUGGAUUUUCCAACAUCCUACAGAGGUUGAUGCCAUUUGAGUAUGAUAUUGAAAUUUUGAUGUAUGAAAAAGACCAACAUAAGUUGUAAAAUAUUGAGAUACGAUAGUAAGGGUGCAUUACCUUGUUAUAUUGGAUUUUGCUCAUGUCUAAGGAGGUUUGAGGGAGACCAGGGAACCGUUGCUUCAAGCAUAGCAAGAGACUUUCAGCUCUGUCCGCAAGUAAUUCCCUCUUGUCUGCAUCAAUUACAAGCUCCUUCACCAUUACCCAUGAUGAUUUUGAAUUAGAUCGGUUCAUGCUAUUUUGGGACUUUGAGUUUAUUUUUCUACGCCACACAUAAACUGAUGCCUCCACUCGAUUUGCAAUCUCCAGUGCUUGAUGUUCAGAAGACAAGUCAAGGCACUCUAGCAGACACUCGGGCGAAAAUUGAUCAGAUGUAAUAUAUCGAUGAAUAAGAUCACCCAAGCUAGCUCUUCCAUUCUGCAAUAAAUAGAAGGAAAGCAUAUCAACAAACAAGUCCUGCCAAUCUGAUUACACUCUUUCCCGGUGUAUAUUUUUACCUUAGGAAGGCCUUCCAAGAAUGACUCAGGGACUUCCAUUUCAGCUAAAGUAAUACUGUUGAUAGCCAUGGAAGCUUUCAGUAUUUGGUUUGUGCAAUCGCGUUUGUGCUGCAACUGUUUUCUUGAGUUUUCGCUGAGGCCACUACUAGGCACUCGAGGAACUGGCAGCCACCACUUCUCCUCCUGGCGUGGAAGGGGUUUUCUGAAAGAGGAUGAUCCAUCAGCUUCUGGUGCCAAAAUUCCUUGGUCCACAUACCAGAACUCUGUAAUUUCAAAACUGUCUAAUAUUUCCUGCAACAAGAGACGAAAAUUUAGAAUGGUUACUAAACUAUAGGUGAUCAACCAAGCAAUGAGAGUGGGGAAUCUUACAAGAAGCAUGUUGUCUAAUUUGCGAAGAGCUGGGAGAUUACUGUAAAGAUCUGAUCGGGGUCUACAAGUCAUAACCUGGAUCAUAGCAUAAAUUAAAUUUAAACAAUCAAGUAUAAAUUUUUUCAGUUAAAUAUCAAAGUCAAAAGAGAGAAUUUAUUUUCACCUUUUUCGUUAACUGCAGUUAGUUGACUUGAGUUGACCGGGUGAAUUUUAAUAUAUGGCACUUAACGGUCAGACUUGGUCAACUAACGUUUGUGAGAAAAAAAUGUGAAUAAAUUCUCUCUACUUAAAUGUUCAAGUUGAAAAAUUAUUGUUUAAAACAAAAAAUAAAUGUAAGUUCGUUGAUUUUUGGCGUCAUUUACCCGUACCCGCAUGGAUAACUAAAAUUAUUUCUUUGGUGUUAUGCCUGUAUUAAUUUUACUGGCCUGAAUUGAGUAAAAAUUCUUAGAAGAAUGUGAUAUAAAUAAAAUGGAUAAUGUGCAAACUUGAUUGAGUAUUUGCAAGGGGCACAUAAAAUGAACAUGAAGUUCUAAAUUAGAAAUUACAUUUCACCUCAAGCUUGCUUCCAUCCGGAAAUGUUUGCCAAGUUGGUAUCAAUUCCACAAUGUGAUCACUAACACAAAGAAGCCAUUCCAUUUCCCUUUGCCACAUUGAUCUCUUUUCAGGAGGUAGAGGUUCUAAUCUCCAAAUUUGCCCAAAAAGUGUAGCUAAACGUUGGGUAUAAAAAUAGCAAUAACUAUAAGCCAAUGCAGAAAUUGCAUAGUUACCAUAAACAAAUUCAUAUGAAACAAAUUAAUAAGGCACAAACUACAUUAUACAUAUAUGACAUACCGCACAGAUUAGUGAUUGCAUUAGAAAUAACCAAUGCUGUACAAACCCCAUUUCCACAACCGGACAUAUCUUCCCCAAGCAGUAACUUCGAGAAUCUUUCCUUCAUCAUCUCAAUCUCUACCCAGUCCCAAAAAAACCAAAAGCAAUUUAUCAAACAGUUUGAGGUAAGUAAAUAUAAACCUGCAGAAAAGUGAAAUAUUUUCAAAGAAAAUUAUCAGAUAAAGUCAAUAUAUACCAGAAAAUGAAGAACCUUGUUUCUCUAACUUUUUAUUGUCCAGUUUGGGUUUUUCCAAUUCUUCAGAGACAUCAGAACUUGGACAACGUGGCAUCUCAGUAUUAUGAACAGGCCACCUCUUUGAAGGAGGGGAUGAAAACCCCUCAGAGCUGUUGUGUUCUUCAUUCACUGUUACCUCUGAAGCCAUAAAAUCAGAGCCUGAACUACUCUCCAUACAGUCCUCUUCAACACCAUCCACAAAACCCUCAUUAACAUUAAACCCCUCUUUCAUCUCAUCCAUUCCUUCACUCUUUUCAAUGAAACCGUCCAUUUUAGCCUCAAGAAAAUAAGGUGAAGCACAAUACAGAGAGUUGUUCACUACCAUACCAGUGAACCCAUUUGAAUCCUUAACUUUAGAGCACACAUUUUUAACUGAUUUUGCUACCCACAAAGCUAAAACAGAAAAGGGGUUGGAGUUAUUUGAACCUAUAGGCUUUAACACUGGUUGAUGGGUUUGGUUGUUGUCUUGUCUUGCUUGUCGGAGUGAGAGAGCUCUAUCCAUAAGUCUUCUUCAACCAUCUCUGAUUCUGAAGGGUAAAGUUGGUAAUAAAGAAGAUAAUAUGGGCGCUGCUUGAAGAUGAGCUCUGUAAAAAUUUAUGAAGGCAGUAGAAUGAGUGAAAAUAGUAAUGAUUAAUGGUGUGAUGAAUUGAAUGCUCAAACACCGAAACACAUGAUAUAAUGUGGCCAGCCUGAAGCAUAGUCAAUAAAUUGGCAGUGACGCUCUCCCUUUGCUUUGUUUUGCUUAAAUCGGGCGACUCUCUCUCUCACACACAUUCAAUAUUAUGUUCCUAUGUUUUGCUUUUGCUUAAACAUGAUUUAUAACAUUUAUAACAUAAUUACUAGUACAAGUUUUAAUAAGAGCAAUAGUAUAAUAUUACUUACAACUUAGAAGCAGCAGAUGGACUAUUUCAUCCAUUAUAUUUAGGUUAUAUGACAUUAGCAGAGUUCUUUUAAUAUCCAAUCCUUCUAGCAUAUGUACUAUACCGCGGAUUAUCUUAUGGACUAUAAUAUAAAAAAAUUAAAAUAAUUAAUGAAUUCAUAAAAACUAACCGCUAUAUUCCAACCGCUAUAUUUUAAAGAACAAACAACUUCUAUAAAUAUAAGGCAUAUUCGGUCUCUUAUAUUCACUCAUCUCAACUUCAAACUUCCGGUCAAACACGUUAUUUUAAAUAUGUCUCGUCAAUUUUAAAUAUCUUAAAAAGGAUAUUGAACGAGCAUUUGGGGUACUCCAAACACGUUUUGCGAUCGUUCGUGAUCCUGCACGAUUUUGGGAUCAAACAACACUAAAAGAAAUUAUAACAAAAUGAAUAAUACUACAUAAUAUGAUCAUUGAGGAUGAACAAGAUGAAAAUCAAAAACCAACAACCUAUGAUACACAUGACGAGAUUCCAAUUGUAGAAGUGUGUCAUGAACGUACUCUACAAUUACUUGAAUUUAUUAAAACCAAUCAUCGCAUAAGGGAUAGACAAGUUAAUUCUCAACUUAAAGAAGAUAUUAUUCAACAUUUGUGGUCACUACAUGGCGAAGCGUAAUCCAUUACAUUCUACUACAAUAAUAAGCAAAUCACGAUUCUAUAAUAAUAAGCAUGUCAACUACUAUAUGUAACUCUUUUCAUGAUUUCUUUUUUGCGUUGUUUGUAAUAUUCAGUUAAUUCGGGCUCCAUGUUAGUGGUGAUAUAUUAUAUCCAUGUUCUGUUGUCUCUCUUGUUGGUUCAAUUUAUGCGCACACUUUCGUAGACUGGGCCAAUAAUCAUGUUGGACCACCUCUUUAUCUAAAAGGUUAACCUAUUAGGUUGAUGUUCUAUCAUAUAAUUAUUAACCCAUCUAUCUCUUGAAUUUAUCCAAUGUGAGAUUCAUGUGAAAUAUGCCAAUAUCACCCAAACUUACUUCUUCUACGAUUGAUGAAGAAGAUGUUGUUGUACUUGACUUUUUAGUACUUUUCUAUUUUUUCCCACUAUUAUCUAUUCUCCAUUUCGGUACAUCAUUUAAUACUUUCCAACAAUGCAUAAAUCCAAAUGGUUGAUUUUGCAUACUUUUGAAUAUCUCUAAUACUUGACAUAUCUAUUUUAAAAAUUAUUUACAAAGUAUUAAGUAUAAACUAUUAAGAAUAAACUUAAUAAAAUUUUACAUGAAAAAAUUUAAAUACCUUAUCUUGUUCACCUACAUCGCCUUGUUGCAUUCUUUCAAUUGAGGCAUAAUAUCCACAAAAUUUAUUCACCGCGAGUAGAAUUGUUGACCAACAUUUCGCCAAAGCAGUAGAAUUGCGUUCAGACUCAAAAUUUUUGUAUCCAAGAAAGUAUUCGUAAACUCUUUCUCAAUAUCUUCCAUGUUUCUGAUCGUUUCCUUGAAUUGGGUCCAUGCUUACAUUAAGCCAUCUAGAAACAAGGUCAUCUACAUCAAUUGUGUAAUUUCCCUUUCGCCAUCUUCUUUUAUUGGACUCAUUUUCAGAAGUUUGAAUUGACAUAUCAGUUUGAAUUGAAAAUUCAUCCAACAAAUUUGGAUCAUCAAGUGAGAAAUCUUCAGAUAAUAAUGAAGAAAAAUAUUUCGGAGGACCAUGAUUUUCCAUCUAAAAAAUAAAUUAAAGAGAUAUUAUCAAUAAAAGAACAAAAAUCAAAUAUAAUAAAAAUACAAACUCUUAUUAACAAGAUACUUAUAAUUACUAAAUGUUGAAGUAGUUGAUUGAGAUAUGGUAAAAUGUAUUGAAUCAUUGUACAUAUUUAUAGAUUUUCCAAUUAACAUUUUCAAUUUCUAUCCGUUGCUAUUUUAUUAUUGUUCUGACCAAAUUUUUUAACCGUUCUGCUUUUUUUUAUAUCCGUUGGAGCAGCCCUGGCCCUGCUUCUCUUUCUUCAGCAACUGCUUCUCCUUCUUCAGCAUCCCCAUUUUAUUUCUUCUUCUUCAGCUAACUCUCCCAUUUAAAUAUAUUAAAAAUUAUAAUCACAAUUAUAGUCUAUCAACUCUUGUUCUUUGUUAUAGUGUUUGUGCCUCGCCGAAAAAUUCGCUCGACUAAAUAUAGUCCAUCUGCUAAAGCGAGAUAUGUGUUUUUAGACUAAAUAUAGUCUAGAAUUUGUACACGUCGGCCUACUGAAGAUGCUGUAAGAGACGAUUUACAAUGUUUUAAUUAGUAGAUUGUUUGUUUUGUAAUAUAUUGGGUGUUUGGGACAUUGAAGGUUGAGGUGUUAGUGUGCAGAAAAAAUAAAUUGAAUUUGUGACCAAAUAAGCUUUGGUGUAUAAUUAUUUUUUUUUAACAUUAAAAAUAUCCCCGUGUCAAAAAUUAAAUUUCUUCUUGGAUGAUUUUAAAUAUGCACCUCUCACAUCGAAUUGGUGCAUUCAAUACAAUUCUACCGGGUCAAUUUUACUUUUUUGAACAAUAAAAAUAUUCUUAAACAUCAAUGAUAUUAAAUUCAUUUUCGAACGAUUUUAAGAAUGCACACCCAUAUCGACCUAAUACAUUUAGAAAAAUUAUCGCUCUAAAGUUCUAAUUCAGGGAGAAGAGCUACACCCCUUUGUCUAAACCAAAUAAUCAAAAAAAUCUAGUGGUAGGCCCAUCAAAACUGGGGUAGGCCACAAUGGCAACCGAAAAACAAAGGCAUGAGGGGGGGGAGGGGGGUGAAAAUUAUGAAGAAAAUACUGAAAAAGUGAGGUGCUGUUGAAGUCUAAUGAUAGCAGCUGCUAUUACAAUGUUCCAAGCACAUCUAAUCACUCAUAUUAUGUAUGUAUAUGUAUAUAUCUUUCCUUGUAAGGCUCUUAUAAAUGUUAAGUAGCAGUAAUUUUUGUUUGAUCAUUUUGCCGGUUGCUUGUUUCAACAGCCACUUACAAAGAUAGAUUGUCUCCUCCUAACCACCGCUAAUUAAAGUUGUUUGGUUUGGUUUGAUGUUGAUGUUUGACUUGAAGAGGGAAAGAGAAACUUGUAAGUGAUUCCACAAACUAAACUUGUAAGUUCAGUUCGGGGUCUCGUAUGGUAAAAGACAGACAGACCCUAUUCCAAAUCUCUUAACUCAACAUUCUCCUCCUCUUUUGUAAAAGUAUUACAACAACUUAUGCCUAAUGUUAUUAGUAGAAUAACCAUUCAGACAUUUCAAGUACCAAUUGUUCGGGCACCAUGCCUUUUUUAACUAGUUUUAUCUAGUUAAAGGAAAGCAGUUUUGAAAUUCUUGUUGGUUGCUAGCAAAACUAAUCCAGUCUUUCAUUUUGGGUUUUAGUUCUUGGUUGCCCUACGGAAGCAAAAGUCUGGAAGAAGGCCACUUGAAAAUGAACUGAAAGUCAAUAAGUUCUUUGGAGGAGAAAUUAUAAAUCUGGUUGACAUUGCUGCUAGUUAUGUAGCUCUUUGGCUUGGAGUUAAUAUUCAACAAGUAACUGGGGUACAAAAUUUGUACACCAAAGAGAAGUUCCCCAGAUUAAUUAAGUAAAUGGAUUAAUGAGUUCCUUAAUUGCUGCAUUAUUAAGGAAAAAUUGCCUCCUAGAGCUGAAUUACUCGUCUGUUUACGGCCUCGCUUUCAUACCAGACACUAAUUAAUAUUUUUGUGUAGCAUAUAAAAUUGAGCAUAAUCUUCUAUGUAACACAAACUAUCCUUGGUAGUUUGUUCUUUUGUAUAAACUGGUGAUGUCUGAUGGAUUGUUUGUUUAGGAACUUGGCUUUUCUUUGUUUUAUUAGUUGAGCAAAAAGUGAAAUAUGUACCUACUUUAUGUUGGAGAUGUCUUAAAAAGUAGUUUCAUUGCAUUUUUCCUUAGAUCAGUUUCCAGAAGCUUGCAUGCAUUUGUGUCCAACUGCAGUUAGAGAGCAAAGAAGAAAAGAUUUUCAUUUGUGAAAAAUCUUGAGUCAAAAGGCAUGGAUAAAAAAUUCAGCAACACAUAUCUCCCAUGGUUAAUGGCAUCAUUGAUCUAAUUCACUAGCUGCUACCAAAUCUGCUGCUGCUAGUAACCAUUUCAUAGACUCGAAUACUAUCAACAUGACCAUAAUUCUCCUUAGCUACCCGUGCAAACAACUCAACUUAGUUCAAUUAACAGUUAGAAGAUAACAAUUAACCUAACGAAAAUAAUAACAAAGAAAAAUAAAAUUACACAAGAUACAAAAUUUAUGUGAUUUGCCUAAAGGUUGGGUCAUUCAUUCCACGGGCAACACUAAUCUCACUAGUCACUAUCUACAAAACGAUUAACCCCAAAAGGUGGGAGAAAUGACAGAGAUGCUGAAAAAUAACCUCAAGGUUGGUAGUAGCAAGAGCAGGCCAUUAAAUUAAGAAACUGAUGACCUCCUAAAAACACUUGAAAAUGAACUGAAAGACAAGAAGUUCUUUGGUGGCCGGGAGAGAGCAUUGGACUUGCUGAAGUUGCGGCAUAUUUCAUUGCCCUUUAAUUUAUUUUUGUGUGUGUGUGUGUGUGUGUGUGUACGAUGUUCUCGGUCUCUGUUUUUUGUUUGAUCAGUUGACUAUAAAUUAAAUUGAAAGAGGCAGCAGUAUAUUUUCAGUAUUUUCCUAAAUUCAGCUUUCAUUAGCUUAUGCAUUUUUGACAUAAUAAUAGCUCAAGAGCUUUCUAGUACAUUCCGAUACAAAGUUUCCAUUACCUUGAAAGGAAGGAGAAGUCUUUUUCUUUCCCCUUUUAAAAUAACGAAGUGGGGGAGAGUCAACUUACUUUUUUAUUUUAUUUUUAGAACUUACACUAUUACAAUAUAAUAAAGAAAAUGGAUCAGAAGGGGAACUAGGAAAGAACCAAAGGAAAAUAUAAAUUUUCAACCUUCUGAAGUAUGGUUGAUUAAGAGCUUUAUUUUGAGAGAUGAAUAUAAAAUGAAAAUAUUUUUAAAUGAAACUCUUUACGUACGUUGGGACUUGGGUCAUUGUCAUUGGAAAAACAGCCCAAUUUCACAUUUGUACUCAUAUAACAAAUUGGUUGACAAAUUUCAAAUAAAAAUCACGCGACUAAAAUUGAUAGCUGCAAUCAUUCAAUUCGAAAAAAUACAAGGAACAUUUUUAUUCGAUUAAAAAAAUGAUAAUUAAAGUGCAUAUACAAAUUAUUAUAAUGUCUUACAACAUUAUGCAUGUAAAAAUUUACUACUAUUGGAUUUAUUACAUUAUAAUUAAUACAAUUAUUAAAAGUGAAAUACUCCAGUAUAAUGAUAAUGAUAAAAUUGUAAGUAAGGUUGCUGAGGUCACCCCAUAGGUCACUUCUUGUAAUAUUAGCUCUGAAUUAUCCCUAGCUUGAAUGUGGCCAAAAAAAACAGAAGAUUCUAGAACCAGCCAUGUGUUUCUGAUUAUUAUGUGUAUGGGUUUGGUCAAUGGAAACGAGAAUAAUCGGCAGAACAAUAGUAUAUCCUUUGGCCAAGUCAAGUUGUGUAUAUAUAAACAAGCUGGAUCCCUAAGAGAAACCCAGAUCUAAAUAAAAUACAGUCUUUCUUUCUUUCUUUCUUUCUUUCUUUCUUUCUUUAAAGAACCAAACUUUGUGACGAUGGCUGAUCAAGAAGUGAAAUUGAUUGGUGUCUGGGGAAGCCCUUUUAGCCGAAGAGUUGAAAUAGCUCUGAAAUUGAAGGGGAUCAAAUAUGAAUUUUUAGAGGAAGAUCUGUCCAACAAGAGUCCCCUCCUUCUCAAAUACAACCCUGUUCAUAAGAAAGUCCCUGUCCUCUUGCACAAUAGGAACCCUAUCGCAGAGUCUCUUGUAAUUGUUGAGUACAUUGAUGAGACCUGGAAAUCCGGCCCACUCAUUUUGCCUACAGAUCCUUAUGAAAGAGCCAUGGCCCGUUUCUGGGCAAAAUUCAUUGAUGAUAAGGUAUAAUAAUAAUGCUAUUUUAAUUUUUUUUUUAAAUUUAUUUUUCUCAAGAUUAUUAGUUUCUUGUUUGUUGCUGGUAAACUAAUUGAUCUUUAAUUUGUUGGGUUUAGUGCUUGCCUGCAAUAUGGAAGAUUCGGCGGAGCCAAGGGGAUGAACGGAAACAGGCCAUUGAUGAAGCUUUUGAGCAUCUGAAAAUUCUUGAAAAUGAACUCGAUGGCAAAAAAUUCUUUGGGGGAGACAAUGUUGGAUUCGUUGAUAUUGCUGCUAAUUUCAUAGGCCUUUGGCUCGGAAUUGUUGAAGAACUGUUGGGGAUAGAAUUGCUGACCAAAGAGAAACUUCCCAAGUUAUGUGAAUGGGUUGAUAACUACCUGAACUCCGACAUUAUCAAGCAAAGUUUGCCUCCGAGAGAUGAACUAGCUGCGCGUUUACGAGCUCUUUUCCAACCCAAGUAAAUGAUCUAUAUGAUUUAUCAUGGAAAGUUUUAUGGCAAACUAUUGUUUGUAGUAUUUGUUUUUAUGGUGUUAUGUUUUCAUGUCGAGUCAUGUGUUUGUUUCGGAAUUUUCUUUUCUAUGUUCGAUUAGGUGAGGCCUGAGGUGAAAGUGACGUGUGUGGUAUGCUGUAGUCUAUGUUCAACUAUGUGUUGAAGUAGUUUGUCCAUCAUUUUUCCUAAUCCUAAUAAUAUAGUAUCAGUUUCCAUUGUGUUGUUUUUUGUCGACAUAUUACAAUUCCGAAAUUGGGUGGCGGUGAAAUAGGGCGAUGAAAAUAGUUUAUACCCAAAUAUGAAUUAUGUGGAUCGUGCAAUCCUGUCAUACAGGUAGCAUGUGCAAUUACUGUUUAGCGUGUGAAUAAUUUGUAACCAGAAAAUAUUUGGAAGGACAAUAGACCCUAAAUUCUAUAAUUGGCUUUGCCACUGCUCAUUAAUGGAGGGCCAAUGAUGCCCAAAUUCCAUAAACAAGAACUAAGAACCUUAGAAAGAUGAACAAACCAAGAUCAAAGUUGCAGCAGAUAUUCACAGUUUCUGUCCAAGUUUAAGAGCCAAAAAGUGUUAGAAUGGCUGACGAAGAAGUGAAGUUAUAUGGGAUAUGGGGAAAGCCCAUUUAGCAAAGCAAAGCAAAGAAGUGGAAAUUGCUAUAAAAAUCAAGGGAGUGGACUGGUUGACAUAGCUGCCAAUUUCACAGGCCUUUUGGCUUGGAGUUUUCCAAAAGUGAUGGGGAUAGAGUUGUUGACCAAAGAGAAGCUUCCCAAAUUAAGUGAAUGGGCUGAUGAGUACCUUAACUGCAGCAUUAUCAACCAAGGUUUGCCUCCAAGAGAUGAACUAUCUGCCUGUUUUAUCGUUUUUGUUGUUUUUAUGAUGUCUAAUGCUUCCAUCCCAGAGUCUUGUAUUCGUUUCAAAUGUUUUAUUUUCUAUGUUUGAUUCGGGGAGGGGAAAAUGAUAUAUGUGCUAUUUAGUGGUGGACUACGAUCAACAAUGUGUUGAAGUAGUUCCUUUUUCAUUUUCCUAAUAAUAUCAGUUUCCAACUUUUCAUUUAGAUCUGUGUUGCAUUUUUUAACCAAAUUCAUGCAUGAUAGAGUAGUAUAUUUAUGUUCUUUCAAAUACCUAGAAUCUAGGGAAGGGACUCAUCUAGCUGACCUUCAGCUUGUUAACCAUCAAUUACAGCAAAAAAUUCUUUUGAAUUUAAGUUUCUUUACUGUUAGUUGCAAAUAAAACUAAUUGGGGUAAAGUGGUUGGCUAUCAUUUCCCAGAGCUAAGACCUGGAAAAAGACCAUGAAGAAGUUGGUGAGCACUAAUGAACUCAAAGAUAAUAAGUUCUUGAUGGGGAAUGGACCUGAUAAAAUUGUUGCUAAUUUCUAGGCCUUUGGCCUCCAGAUGUAAUGGUAAUGGGAUACUAGAAUUGUCAACGAAAGAGAACUAUCCCAAGUAAAGUGAAUGAGAUUAUCACAGUUCCUUAAUUGCAUCAUCAUUAAUGUUCUAUGGAACAUUAAGCAUACAAAGAUAACGACCUCAUAUGCAUAUAUGACACUAUUAACUGAACAUAAAAGAACUAUGGUACAAGUAAAGAUGGCCAUUAGUUUACCAACAAGUCUUCCAGAUUGUUGGAUGGUUUAUAAUUUCAAGAACAAAUCUAAAACCACUGUAGAGAUAAUAAUGAAACAAUGGUAGAUCCCAUAUUAUAAAUUUCACAAAUCUUGAAAUUUACAUUCAUUUUUAAGUAUCAAACCCUGAACAAGCUUCAUAUAAACUGAACAUCAUCCAAACCCAGAUUGAUAUAUAAGAAAUACAGUAAACAAAGAACACUCUGAAUCAUUAUUAAUAGCAUAGGUACUCGCUUAUAGAUCACACCAUGGUAAAUUUUUGUUCUUGAUCAGUGCUUCUUGAUUUGGGGCUCCUUGACGACUGUGACAGGGCAAUUAGCAUGGGUCAUCACAUAGUUGGUAACGCUCCCCAGGAUUAUCCUGCAUCAUCACUUGAGUGAAUUACAGAUCCAACGUGAUGAAAUAAAAUACUGUAAUUUAGAAAAUCUAAACUGUUUUGACAAUAACGUUUGAAUAAAUAAUAAAGUUAGGACCUUCACCUUUGAAUGGUGCCUAGUCCUCUGCUACCCAUGACCAAAGAAUCCAGCUUCAGAUCUUCAACAGCAUCACACAACUUCUCUCUUGCAUCACCCCAAUACAGUUUCGAUAAAAUGGAAAUCUACAAAAACACAGAAUGUAAACACCCACAAAUCCACAUACUUAUAUAGGAAAUUGGAAAAUCAAAAUAAAAUAAAAUUGAACCUCUUUCUGUCUAGAAGCAGUGUCAAGAGUGUCGAGAACAUCAAUAUCGAUCUUUACAUCGUACUUUUUAAGAACCUCAAUCUCACGAAACUCCGCCAAAGGAAUCAGAGCUAUAAAAAGGAAAAUACCCAGAUGAAAUUCGAUCGAUUUGAGAUUGAGAAAAAGGUAAAAGUUGAUAAACUUACGGGAACCAGAUUCAGCCCAGAGCCUAUUACGAGACUCGUCAUGAGAAGCAGACUUAAUGUGGAGGAUGUGAAGGGUGUCUCCUUUAUCAGCCAAAUUGUCAAUGGCCCAAAUAAGUGCCAGUUUGCUGCUAUUUGAGAAAUCCAUGGCCACUCCUAUCUUCCUGUCUUUCGUCAUUGAGCUUCUUCUCUUCUCUUACUAGGAGCGUCUUCUUUCUUCUUUCUUCUUUCUUCUUUCUUCUUUCUUUGUUGCUGCUACUAAUUAUUAGUCUGGAGGUUUUGGUUUUGGUUUUCUUUUGACUGAUAAAUUAAGUAACAGACAGACAGACAAUUGCUUUUGUAAAGCUGUAAGCACAAGGCAUUGACAGAUUGCCUUGUGAUAUACGUUUUGUUUUCCAAAAGUAAUACGUGUGCGCGCGUUGUUACAAAAGAUCCCAAGAAAAACGUAAGCGGUUAAUAUGAAGUUUAAUUUAGGAUAAAUUGAUCAAUUGACUAAUAGAAUAUUGAUACGCAGGCGAGGUUAUAUGUGUGUCAGUAUUUUAGUAGUCAAUUGACCAACUUACCAAAAAAAUACUAACUUCAUGCUAACCGGAUCCAAGAAAAACGUACCAUAGACAGGCCCAUUCCCAUCACUAGGUUUUUAUAGUUUCAAGAGUUGUUAUUUUAUGGUAUAAAUUUUUAGGACAGAUGAAAUUGUUAAUUACAUGUAAGAGGGAUUGAUGCACUCAUUAAAUUUAAUUAUGAAAAUAUUAAUUAUUAAUUUUUAUUAUAUGUGGGUCAAUAGAAAUUAAAUUGUAAUUGUGGAUUGUGAAAUCCCUUAAUAAUAAGGGUAAAAUAGUCAAAAGAAUUUUAAUCAAUCCUCCAUUUAAUAUAUAUAUAUAUAUAUAUAUAUAUAUAUAUAUAUAUAUCCUAAACUCCAAAAAAAAACAUUUAAAUAUCCACCUAAAUAUUUGGCUGGCUAAAUCACAUCACAUGGGGAAGGCACUUUCUUCCUUGCACCUUCCUUUUUCUUGUCAUUAUUUGUCUAAAUAUAUAAUAAUAUAGAAGAAGAGCUCUUUUUAAACUAACAAUUCUAUUUUGGAAUGUAAAAAAAACACUUAUCUUCGGACUUGAAAACAAUUUUAAUAAUUAACAUUCAUCCGUUUAAAAAAAAAAAGAAUUAUAUUUAAAUUUGAUUCCAAUUUAUUUAUAAAAUUUUAAAAUUCAUGUUAUGAUGUGGUUUUAUUUAAUUUUUAAAAAAUAAGUUAUAAUAUUAACUAUCACAUCAAUUUUAACUUUUAAUAUUUUAUACAUUAAUUAGAAAAAGUGUAAAAGGGAUGGAGUAUUUUAUACAUUAACAUAUUAUUUGAGAUCUCAAAUUCGAUAUUUCUGACAUUUUUCUUUCAAAUGUACUCCAUCUAUCUACUUUAAAAUAAAUUAAAAAAAGCUUUGGUUUAAAUCCAAUGCUUCAGUAGGAUCACGGGCCUAUGUCUGUGGGCUAAUAUGAAUUGGGCUGGGUUGGAAAAGAUUACAGCAAGGCUUGAAAUUGACCUUUCAACAAAAAUUGAAGGCUUGUCAUCAUCCACAGGCCCAAACAAAAGAAAAACGUCCCAUUUUGAUAAAUUUAAUGUAAGGUUACUUUUGACAAUUAAUGUAUUGUAAGUUUUCUAAAAUUCUUUUAUUUAUUUUACUACUAGUAGUAGUACUCCUUCCAGAAAUUCUUUUAUUUAUUUUUAUAUCUUUUGGACUAGGAGUAGGAGGAGUAUAUUUUACUCGUAUUUUAAGAACUUUAUUUCUUUAUACUUCAUUUUUAAAUGCUGCUACUAAAUGAUGAUGUUUAAGGACUAAUCCGGGCCCACACCUGUCAAAAAUGAAUUUGAACUCUCACUAAGUGGAGUAAUUAACUAAAAUGAUUUUAAAAUACUACUUACUUCAGUAGUAACGGAGAGCAGAUCAUAUGUCUUUAAAUUCUCUGUCCUCUUAUGUUUUCUUAUUUAAAUUUUGAUAUAUGUCUUUUUAUUUUAUUUAAAAAUUAAUUAGUGUUAAGUAAAAGACUAUAUGUCAAAAUCUAAAUAAAGAAACACAAGAAAACAGAAAAAUUAGGAACAGAAAAUUUGCUCUCGUAGUAAUGGAAGGGGUUGAGUCUCACAAAACCUGUUGAGUUCCGCUAAUCAAGGCGACAUGUUUCUCGCUCGAUCUUCGAGCUUUUCCCUACACUUGCACUUCUUCAUUAAACAUUACUACUAAUUUUCUCCGUUUUAAAUUGAAUCUGAGAGGAUCUGAUCCCGGUAUUAUUAUACCUUAAAAUUAAUGUAAAAUAAAAUUAAUUUUAAAAGAAUAAAUAUAUGUGAUUAUGAUGUAAUAGAGGGGCAUAGUUAGGAAUUAAUUUGAGUGAAAGGUCGGGGACCAAAAAAUUAUGAGAUUAUUUUUUAUUAGUAUAUACCAAUACAAUGAUAACAUGUUUAUGUUUAAGAUAAUAUUUUUUUUUUUGCAAAAGACGAAAAUAUAUUUUAUUAAUGAAAUAUACCCCAUAAUCUAAAAGAUAGUUUGAGAGACCUAACAUUAUAUUAAUUUUAUUUAUUUUGACUUUAAAAGUACGUACUAUGUAGAUUUUUUUCGUAUUACUUAACUUUAUUUAUCUGCAUUUAAAAAUUACAAAUAAAACCUUGUCUUCUAGCUAGGAUAGAGGGAUUACAUACCAAUAGCCUACUUUGACCGUAUAUUAAUUUGUCAAAAUGUUGACAAAUGCAUUUUGGCAUAUAUAUAUAUAUAUAUAUAUAUAUAUAUAUAUAUAUAUAUAUAAAGUGAACAACAGCAACUUUAAAAAAAUACUAAUGGAAGAAUAAAAUAUAUAUAUUAGUUAAUAUGAAAAUUUGUAACUGUUAAGUAUAAAUUAAUUACUUAAUUAUUGGGAUAUUCAUUUUAUAUUACCGUUACAAUAUUAUAUUACCGUUCUAUCAAUAUAUUAACGUUGCUCCAUAUUAAAGAAAUAGUACCGUUCAUGCAAUGUUACCGUUGGAUUUUCUUCGUAUAUAAAGGCUGAGCACUUUGUUAGUCUGCACACUUUUUCACUGAAAUAUAUUUGUCUAUACAGAGAUAUAUAUAUAUAUAUAUAUAUAUAUAUAUAAAGUGAACAUACAUGAUGUUGGGAUAUGAUUAUUUGGGUCUAACCAUGGUGCAACUCAGUCUAUUUAAUGGUCCGGAUCUGGUGAUGGCCCAUAUGUAUUUAUUGUGACAGUGGAGAGUCCUUAUUAAAAUAAAAUUGUGUUUCCUUAUUUGGUGGGAUAAGGAGGUUUAAUUAGGACUCCUACUCUUAAUUGAAUUCAGUAGUUAUAAGGUGAUUCUACAAAAGGAGUCCUUCUCCUAGUUAGAUGCGGAUAGAGGUGACUUCUAUAUAUACGGCUACAAGCUAGGAUUUGGGGACAAGAUAGAAGAACACAAGAGAUACAACACAAAUACACAACUUGUACUCUCUAUAUUAUCAACUUGUACUCCCAAUAUUAUGAUAAUGGAUUACUCUCUCUCUCCAUGGUUUUUUCCCAAUUGGGUUUCCACGUAAAUCUUGUGUUCAUACUUUAUAUUCUUCUAUUUAUGCUUAUUUGAGUGCAUUUAACAAUACAAUCAACCGUUAGCGCGAUUUUGGCCUGCUGUUUUGGUGAUUUCGUCAAGCGUACAAAAUUUGGCGUUAACAUUGGCGUCAUCAGUGGGAAGCAAGACACUUGUUCUAAUGUCGAUUUAAAAUCACUGAUUCACCAAAGGAGAUAAGUGAUUUUUUUUAUUAAAUUAAAUAUAUACUUGUACGUAUGUAUAUACUCUGCUAAAUCCUCUCCAUUGUCUCUCCGCCCCAGGGGCCUUUCUCGUGAAAAGUAGAAAGACAAAAUUUAGCCAAAAUACUAGAUCAGAUCCACCUGAAUUUCAGCAAAACCAAAAACAAAGCCCUAGGAUUGAUUGAUCAAUCAACAAAUAAUGGCUCAACUCUCAUCAGAUUCACUAUCUGCAAAUCUAGACUCUUCUCGCGCCGAUGAUCAACAAUCACAGAGCUCUUCUUCUGAUCCGUCUUCACAACUUUCACGUAAUCUAUCAUCGAGUCGACUCAACGCCAAAGCGCCUGAGUUCAUUCCUCGUAGUAGCAGUUCAACCGAUCCAACUCAGCAGACCCAGCUCUUAUACCACCAACCGCCACAGCCACUUACCCCGGGCAGUGGUUACUUCCAUGCGUUGGCGAUUCAGGGUCAUGUGAGGGUUCCGGUUCUUAACAAUCGUGCGUAUGCUCAUCACGUGUCGGUUCAAUAUCAUCAUCAGCUUGUUCAAGCUCAGAAACAAGGUGUCAUUGAUUCGGAUCAUGUUCCUAGGAAUGGUCUCACCGAGGAAGCUGCUCAAAAAAUUCUUAACCAGCAACAACUUCUUCUAUAUGCUUCUCGAAGCCAACCAAGGCAAUCCAAGCCCAUCGGCUUCAGCAAAAUGAAACUAGCACCUGGAAUCAACACUGAUCGUCGGGAGAAUAACAAGCCUCAGAUAGAAUAUGCGUGGCUCUUAAUUUUCACAAAUGGAGGGGAGCGAGCAAUCACCUCCACAUAUUAAAUAAGAGAUUUUGUUGUCCUUCGUUACUAUCAACAUCUGCCGACCACAUGGGAACAGAUGAAGUUAAGUUCGGACCACUUCGACAAUCUCUUUGGCGAUUCCUUUUCGGGCCAUACCGGUUUCAUCAUAUCUUCGGUUGUUUACUUUCGGCAGAUAUAAAGUCUGAUCGAAGCCUCCCACAGGGGUCGGGACGGAUAUUAUGGCGGCAUAAGGUCGGAGGGGUUAUAAGGUCAGACAAACGUCCUUCGAGAAGGCUUUGAUCUCCCGAAAGGAUGAACAUUCUACAGAUAUAAAUCCCGAGGAUAAAAAUUCUGAGGAUAAAAAUCCCGAGGCUAUAAAAUCCCGAGUAUAUAUAAAUCCCGAGGAUAAAAAUCUCGAGGAUAUAAAUCCCGCGGAGACUUUUUGAAUACUCUCUUAUUUAUAAGUUCCUUAUAAAUAAGAGACUGGGAGGCAAUGUUAGGGUGUUAUAAGGUUGGUUCUUUAUAUCUGCGGUAGUAAUAAUGUGACGCCCCCAAAAUAGGUCCAUUCCACCCAACCCAUUCUGAGUCGCCAAAUACAUGGUACAGAAAUAACUACAACUUUAUUAAUACAUUUGUCGUGCAAAAUACGACAACAUAUAUACUGUGAGUUUAAAUACAAUUAUUGUCUUCUAGACAAUAUACAUACCCAAAUAAAUCCCCAUCAUAAUUAUUGAUACAUCAUUUUACAANNNNNNNNNNNNNNNNNNNNNNNNNNNNNNNNNNNNNNNNNNNNNNNNNNNNNNNNNNNNNNNNNNNNNNNNNNNNNNNNNNNNNNNNNNNNNNNNNNNNNNNNNNNNNNNNNNNNNNNNNNNNNNNNNNNNNNNNNNNNNNNNNNNNNNNNNNNNNNNNNNNNNNNNNNNNNNNNNNNNNNNNNNNNNNNNNNNNNNNNNNNNNNNNNNNNNNNNNNNNNNNNNNNNNNNNNNNNNNNNNNNNNNNNNNNNNNNNNNNNNNNNNNNNNNNNNNNNNNNNNNNNNNNNNNNNNNNNNNNNNNNNNNNNNNNNNNNNNNNNNNNNNNNNNNNNNNNNNNNNNNNNNNNNNNNNNNNNNNNNNNNNNNNNNNNNNNNNNNNNNNNNNNNNNNNNNNNNNNNNNNNNNNNNNNNNNNNNNNNNNNNNNNNNNNNNNNNNNNNNNNNNNNNNNNNNNNNNNNNNNNNNNNNNNNNNNNNNNNNNNNNNNNNNNNNNNNNNNNNNNNNNNNNNNNNNNNNNNNNNNNNNNNNNNNNNNNNNNNNNNNNNNNNNNNNNNNNNNNNNNNNNNNNNNNNNNNNNNNNNNNNNNNNNNNNNNNNNNNNNNNNNNNNNNNNNNNNNNNNNNNNNNNNNNNNNNNNNNNNNNNNNNNNNNNNNNNNNNNNNNNNNNNNNNNNNNNNNNNNNNNNNNNNNNNNNNNNNNNNNNNNNNNNNNNNNNNNNNNNNNNNNNNNNNNNNNNNNNNNNNNNNNNNNNNNNNNNNNNNNNNNNNNNNNNNNNNNNNNNNNNNNNNNNNNNNNNNNNNNNNNNNNNNNNNNNNNNNNNNNNNNNNNNNNNNNNNNNNNNNNNNNNNNNNNNNNNNNNNNNNNNNNNNNNNNNNNNNNNNNNNNNNNNNNNNNNNNNNNNNNNNNNNNNNNNNNNNNNNNNNNNNNNNNNNNNNNNNNNNNNNNNNNNNNNNNNNNNNNNNNNNNNNNNNNNNNNNNNNNNNNNNNNNNNNNNNNNNNNNNNNNNNNNNNNNNNNNNNNNNNNNNNNNNNNNNNNNNNNNNNNNNNNNNNNNNNNNNNNNNNNNNNNNNNNNNNNNNNNNNNNNNNNNNNNNNNNNNNNNNNNNNNNNNNNNNNNNNNNNNNNNNNNNNNNNNNNNNNNNNNNNNNNNNNNNNNNNNNNNNNNNNNNNNNNNNNNNNNNNNNNNNNNNNNNNNNNNNNNNNNNNNNNNNNNNNNNNNNNNNNNNNNNNNNNNNNNNNNNNNNNNNNNNNNNNNNNNNNNNNNNNNNNNNNNNNNNNNNNNNNNNNNNNNNNNNNNNNNNNNNNNNNNNNNNNNNNNNNNNNNNNNNNNNNNNNNNNNNNNNNNNNNNNNNNNNNNNNNNNNNNNNNNNNNNNNNNNNNNNNNNNNNNNNNNNNNNNNNNNNNNNNNNNNNNNNNNNNNNNNNNNNNNNNNNNNNNNNNNNNNNNNNNNNNNNNNNNNNNNNNNNNNNNNNNNNNNNNNNNNNNNNNNNNNNNNNNNNNNNNNNNNNNNNNNNNNNNNNNNNNNNNNNNNNNNNNNNNNNNNNNNNNNNNNNNNNNNNNNNNNNNNNNNNNNNNNNNNNNNNNNNNNNNNNNNNNNNNNNNNNNNNNNNNNNNNNNNNNNNNNNNNNNNNNNNNNNNNNNNNNNNNNNNNNNNNNNNNNNNNNNNNNNNNNNNNNNNNNNNNNNNNNNNNNNNNNNNNNNNNNNNNNNNNNNNNNNNNNNNNNNNNNNNNNNNNNNNNNNNNNNNNNNNNNNNNNNNNNNNNNNNNNNNNNNNNNNNNNNNNNNNNNNNNNNNNNNNNNNNNNNNNNNNNNNNNNNNNNNNNNNNNNNNNNNNNNNNNNNNNNNNNNNNNNNNNNNNNNNNNNNNNNNNNNNNNNNNNNNNNNNNNNNNNNNNNNNNNNNNNNNNNNNNNNNNNNNNNNNNNNNNNNNNNNNNNNNNNNNNNNNNNNNNNNNNNNNNNNNNNNNNNNNNNNNNNNNNNNNNNNNNNNNNNNNNNNNNNNNNNNNNNNNNNNNNNNNNNNNNNNNNNNNNNNCCGACAAUAAUGAAUAUUAUAUCACCACUUGCUUAUUUAAAAUAUUUGCGCAUUUUACCCAUAACUAACCACAUUAAUCAAAUCCACCCUUACUAUUUCAAAAUAAUAAAUAAAGGAAAUUCCUUUUUAUUUAAAAAAAUUUCGGGGUCUUACAAAUAAGGUUGGUUCGGUUGAUAUAAGGAUGGUUCUUUAUAUCUUCGGUAGUGAUAAGGUUGGUUCGGUUGGUAUAAGGUUGGUCGUUUAUGUCUUAGAAAUGAAUUGAGGAGUGGGGCGAAAAUAUUGAGAGUCACAAGUUUCUGUUUGGCGUAUGGUGUUUGGGUGUGACAAAAUUUGUAUACUCUCUUAUUUAAGUUCCUUAUAAAUAAGAGACUGGGGGGCAAUGUUCGGAUGUGAUUAUUUGGGUCUAGCCAUGGUGCAACCGAGUCUAUUUAAUGGUCCGGAUCUGGUGAUGGCCCAUAUGUAUUUAUUGUGACAGUGGAGAGUCCUUAUUAAAAUAUGAUUGUGUUUCCUUAUUUGGUGGGAUAAGGAGGUUUAAUUAGGACUCCUACUCUUAAUUGGAUUCAGUAGUUAUAAGGUGAUUCUAGAAAAGAAGUCCUUCUCCUAGUUGGAUGCAGAUUGAGGUGACUUCUAUAUAUACGGCUACAAGUUAGGAUUUGGGGACAAGAUAGAAGAACACAAGAGAUAGAACACAAAUACACAACUUGUAUUCUCUAUAUUAUCAACUUGUACUCCCAAUAUUAUGAUAGUGGAUUACUCUCUCUCUCCGUGGUUUUUUUCCAAUUGGGUUUCCACGUAAAUCUUGUGUUCAUACUUUAUAUUCUUUUAUUUAUGCUUAUGUGAGUGCAUUUAACAAUACAAACAACCGUUAGCGCGAUUUUGGCCUGCUGUUUUGAUGAUUUCAUCAGGCGUACAAAAUUUGGCGUUAACAAACAUCAUUAUAUACAUUGUGGCAAUUUGCAUGCUUCCAAAUAUAUACUACUACAUAAUAUAGCUGACAAGAUCGAUGGAAGAGUAGUCUACAAUUUAAGAAUGAAUGAAUCAAUGAUAUGGGAUAUGAAUGAAUUUAAGAAUGAAUGAAUCAGAUGAAUCUAAAAACAAUAAAAAAAAUAGGGAUAUGAAUGAAUUAAUCGAUAUCCCGAGCGAGCUCCUACUAGGCCCUAGCUAGCAAGUUAGCAUUAGAAAAUACUACUAGUAAAUAGCAGAAUUAGGUUAUGCAUGUUGAAGAAAUGAGAAUGAAUGAAUGUUGCUGUCAAUUUGUUCCCCGCCCCGCCGCUUCUACAUUCCUUAACAAAACAAUUACUAGUAUUUAAAAGAGAUGUAGGUCUAUCCUAUAUAUAUCCGAACCGAAAGAUCCCAUUUCCAUGUGCAAAUCAAUCUCUCUGGCAUGUGCAUACUUCAAAAUGCAUAUGCAUAUGCUUAUUAUAUAUGGAGUCGGUUUUGUCUAACGAUUCAAAAUAUAAGAUCAUUAUUGAAUUUGUUGAACGGAAGAAAAAUAGUUUUCUUUUCCUUUAGCUUUUGGAAUGGAUAUUUUUUGCAUGUGAAACAUGGUCCCAACAAAUUAUCUUUUUAGCUCAGAAGUUGGACGGACGGACUGAUAUAUAUUAUAUAUAUAGAGAGAGAGUAAAGAAUGGAAAUGAAAAAUGGAAAAUUAUUACCUAUAUACAUAUAUGGAAACUGACCAACCUUUCCAUGUAGAUGUACAACUUAGUUACGGUGGAAAAGUAAUGUGAUCGAGAAAUCUUAGGGUUCACUCAACGUACGUAGUAACACCACCUACCUACAUAUCUCUUUAUCCAUAUAUAUAUAUAUAUAUAUAUAUAUAUAUAUAUAUAUAAAUAUUAUUAGGCUUCACAUUCAUUCAUUCUAUCUUCCUUUUAUCAUUUUCUUGAUCGAUCAACAACUUUUUUAGACUCCCACUCACCUCAGAUUAAAUAACACUUCAGCUCAUGUUUGUUUAUCAAAUAAAUUAUUAUGUCAAUCUCACGCUACCUACAAAUUAAUUAUUAAUAUAUAUAUAUAUAAUGAGCGAAUCUACGUACUUUUCUUUUUAUAUGUAUCAGCAGCAGUAGUAGUAGUAUUCUUUAAUUUUCCACCAAAGUUAGAGGAAGCGAGCGAGCAUGAUAAAGUAGGUGAAACUAACUCCUAAUUCCACCGAUUAGAUAAUGGAAUGGGAUGGAAUGGACUUCUAUAUAUAAUGAUUAUAAAUCGAUGGCCCAACAAUUAAUGUGUAAGCAUAUAUGGUGAGACAACUUUAAAGAUUACAAAUUGUUGGAAGUUGUUAGUAUAAAGUUUAUUUUAGGGUAAGUUGGUCAAUUAACUAAUAGAAUACUGACACACAAACGAGAUUGUAUGUGUGUCAGUAUUCUAUUAACCAAUUAAUCAAUUUACAAAAAAAAUAACGUUAUGCUAACCGGAUCCCAAAUUGUUGGAUAAUAUAAACUCAAUAAUACAUACAUACAUAGCAAAGGAAUGUCUUAAUUAGUUGCUACUACUUCUACUUUUAAUGGAAAUGGAACAAAGGGAGAAUAAUUAUGACCCCUAGUGUCCUGUCACAUGCAACACAACCGGUCCCCUUUAUUAUUGAAGCAUAGCCUUAUAAAUGAAUUGAGUUGAGUCGAAUCGAGUAUUGAAUUAUUCAGAUUUAUUUAUAAAAUUUAUUAAAUAUGAAAUAAGAUUUGAUUUUAAUACUCAUUUAGCUACGAGCUGUCAAGCAUGAUCUCAAAUCGUAUUUGAAUUUUUCAAACGAAUAUGAUUCGAGUAUCAAUAGAAAAUUACAAUUUAAAGAGGUUCGAGUAAUUUGUCAAAUUUUAAAUUUUAAAUCAUUUAUAUUUUGAAUAAAGCUCAAUCAAACUUUUAAUCGAAUGAAUACAAAAUCAAACCCACCGUUUAGUUAAUUUUACAGUUCCUACCUCUAGCGGCUGCAUGUAAUGUAUAAAGUAGAAUUAGGUUAAUCAUCAUAGUACGUAGUGAUUAGCUUCAUAUAUAUAUAUAUGAUGCCACAGUGGGAAAGAUCUGGUGGCAAAAUGUAGAAUUACUGUCUUAAGACUUGUUCGGUACAUUUGAGGAUUAAGUCAUUGAUUGCAGCCUUUGUUCAUAUAUCCGGAGAUACAUUGUAUAUGAGAUAAUUAAAUUGAAUAUUCUCAAAAAAACUUAAAUAUUUAAGACCCUUUCUCAAUGUUUAAUCAUUCGGCUGGCUAAGAGCCCAAGACUUGUGAAUUAAUAUACCAAAUUCUGCCGCUAAAAACAGCAAGCGUAGACAAAUGUACUAUCAAGUACUCCUGCUAUAUAUUAAGAAUUGAGAUUCCGAAAACCCCCUCCCUACAAAUUAGACAUGGUAAAUUACAAAUGUACUAUCAAGUACUCCUACUAUAUAUUAAGAAUUGAGAUUCCGAAAACCCCCUCCCUACAAAUUAGACAUGGUAAAUUUGACCCAAGUCCGCAGAUUGGGUCAGUCUGUCCGUCAAAAAACGGAUUUUGAACCGUAUUGUUUUAGCCUACAAAAAUUCAGACCGUUUUGCCCCGGCCUGUUUGGGCUAAGCCCAAAAAAAUAUCAAAAAUUAGGCAUAAAACAACCUCGGCCCGCCCGCAGAAAAAUAGGCUUACUAUUUGCGAAGGGUAAUUAACUCUUGGAACACCGAAGAGGCAAAUAACUCUUGAAAAGCUGAAGGGUCAAAUAACUCUUGGAAAACUGAAAGGACAAAUAACUCUUGAAAAACUGAAAGGACAAGUUACUGUUAAAACUCAUGAAUAGUAACUCAUGAAUAGUAACUCGUGAAUAGUAACUCCGACACGAAAAGUUUCCCAAAUACCCGAUUGAACAAUAUAACCUCCAGACAUCAAUUAUUAUCGAAAUAAAUGUCAAUUUUUACUAACACAAAUAAUUUCAACACAAUGAAACUAUCAAAUUCAUCUUUAAUCAACACGAACUUAUCCAUCAUUAAUAUCAUAACUCGCAAUAUUUAACAACCAGGUCGUUCUCAGGAAAGAGAGGGAUUUCCAAUAAGGAUUUCUCCCUAUUGGCGCGCAAUUAGGUGACAAAACCUCUCCUUGACAGAACUUCUAGACAUUAUAAAUAUUGCAAUUUAAUAAUAUGAAUAACUUUGUCGUCUCAAUUAUUGAUUUAAUAAUAUAACAUAUUAUGCACAUGAUACUGUAACAAUAAUUGGAUCAAUAAUAUGAGAGAUAUGAUGCAGCAAUUACUGUAGCAAUAAUGUAGUAUAACUGAGUGACUUCUUACGUAAGCAUCAAUAAUCAAUACCGUGUGCUACUAUGCAACCACGCGUAUUACUGUACUUUUACUACCGAGUAGUUCAACAGUAUUAAUGGUAAAACCUCCGCCGUUAUUUCCAUAAAAUAUUUUUGUCGUUUUCUAACUACGACAGUACUUCUGUUGUGGGGUCCACCAAUGAUUGUGUCGUCGUACGGAUAUUCCCGACAAAAAAAAUAUUCCCCGACCAAACGAAUAUUUAUAACAACUUGCAUACUUUGCAAAAUUUUCAAAUACUACCCACAACUAUAACACUAUCUCAAAUCCACACCAUAAUAUAAAAAAAUAUUUCGAGAAAUUUAAAUCUUUAUUUAGAAGAUUUGCGUACGAAUAUUCCCCGACAGUAAGAAUAUUCCACGACCAAACGAAUAUUCUCCGAUAAAAAAUAAAUAUUUUAUAUCCACUUGCUUAUUUGAAAUAUUUGCGCAUUUUACCCAUAACUAACCACAUUAAUCAAAUCAAUCCUUACUAUUUCAAAAUAAUAAAUAGAGGAAAUUCAAUUUCAUUUAAUAAUAAGUUGGGGUUUUACACACUAGCGAAGUAUUUAUUCGUUUCUCCUCUCCUAGUUCUAUUCCCCGAUCUCCGCCAGAGAUCAUAUCCCUAAGCUCUGAUACCAACUGUGACGCCCCCAAAAUAGGUAUACAUCACCCAUUUUGAGUCGUUAAUAACAUGGUAUAAAAACAACUACAACUUUAUUAAUACAACAUAUAAACUGUGAGUUUAAAUACAAAUAUUGCCAUCUAGACAAUAUUCACACCAAAAUAAAUCUUCAUUAUAAUUAUUGGUACAUUAUUUUACAAAAAUGGUGAGAACUACUAAAACAACUUUCUAGAACCAUCAUUUCACACCCCGACUAGAACUCGCUACAUUCUCGCCUCCUUAGAAGAAAAAUAGAACAAAAAAGAAAAGGGUGAGUUCAACUAGCCCAGUAAAGAAUAUUAUGACUAAGAUAAUAUAGAACAAACUAUCAUUAGUCUUCAACAGAAAAAAAAUCUGAUAAAAUACAAUAGACAACAAAUUUCAGAUCAAUAUUCGCAACGUAAAUAAUAAUUCAUAUAUGAGUUACGUAGAGAAUGAAAUCUACUAUAAUCUAUGAAUUUAAAAGUCCAUCAUCAAUAUUUUAUCCCUGUAACAUCAAUCAAUAUUCAUCUUAAAUCAAAUAUUUAUCUUUGCACUACAUGCCAAAGAUAUUCAUCAGUUGGUCAUGUUCAUCUCAACACUUGUUCAUCUUUGCACUACGGGCCAAAGAUAUUCAUAAGAAAAUCAUUAAUCUUUGCACUACAGACCAAAGAUAUUCGGUAAUAUCAUCAUUUAAGACUGAGGAUGAUGAAAAAUAUUUUGAAGAAAACGAAUCCAGUGAAAUAAAAGAACAAAUAUUAAGGAUUCAUACUUUACACAAUCCGAGUUCAAAAAUACUUCAUAAUAAUCAUAGUGAAGUAAAAUUCAAGAAUGAUCAAAACAUGGAUACAAUCAAAGCUAGUAUCCAUAAUAGAUAUCUUGGAUAAAAACGAAAAAUUUAGUUUUUCUGUAAAUAGUGUCGUAUUCGUGAAUAGUGCCGUAUACGUGAAUAGUGCCGUAUACGUAAAUAAUAACCCCGACACUAAAAGACAAGAAUUUCACAAGAAAAAUCUUACCAAUAUUCUAGCAUAAUGAUAUUAGAAGAAAUAAUAUCAUUUUUAAAAAAAAAAUAUCUCUUACCUCGAAAAGACAGUACUUCUAGCUGGAAUACCGGAUAUAGUGCUGAAGGGAAUUUGCACCGUAUAGCAACACUCAAGGUAUUAAAAUACUCACAAGAAUACGCUCGAUACUAUAGAGAGAGAAAACUUUAGUUUCUGGUGUGACUUUCAAUUCUAACCUAAGCACCUUAUUUAUAGAAAAAUGCUUAGAACACCAAAGUAAAAAAUUUAAUAAAAUAAUAUAUUUAUAAACUAAAUUCCUAUGCACACCACCAGCUGAUUUCAACCACUUAACACAUGUUCCACAAAUGAAAAAAACAUUUUUCUUAAUUAAAAUAUUUUAAACUUCAAAAAUUAAUUAUUCUGGAGCUUCAGAACUUCAAUAAUUCAUAAAAAUAGCCCUUUUACUUAUCAGAAAAAUUCGAACCUUAUGUCCUUUUCAUAAGAAAUUCCAUUCUCUACAAAUUUGCAGAAGAAAGUUUUUCUAAAUUCCAAACAGAAAUUGACCGAAAUCCACAAACGGACGAUUUUACAUGCUAUAAUCAAAUUUCAGUCAAGAAAUGGGCCCACAAACAUGUUUAACAUGUUUUAACAAUUUUUAGUGACAAAAAUACUCUUCCUCCUUAUUUAUUCAUAUAUCCAACAUUCAUUGUAAAAAUAUCACCAUUAUUAUAUUAUUAAAAUAUAAUAAUAUAUUUAAAUGAAUUAUUUUAUCAAAAAAGAUAAAAUAUUAAUUUUCAACAAUUGUCACAUUAAAAAUUUUCUCCAUCUAUAUCCACAUAAAAUGAAUAUUUUCCUUAUUAUAAUAAGUAAUAAUUAAUUAUUCACAAAUAAUAUUACAGAAUCACAAAACCGACAACCAAGCUGUUCCCAGGAAAGAAGGGGCUUUCCAAUAAGGAUUUCUCCUUACUGGCGCGCAAUUAGGUGACCAAACCUCUCCUUAGACAGACCUUUCUAGACAUUGCCACUAAUGUUAUCUAAUAAUAUUAUUCAAAUAAUAUGAAUUAUUGAUCUGAUAAUGAAAAUACUGUGUAGUGACAAUUAUUGAAACAACAAUAAUAUAAAAUAUCAACGUAGCAAUUAUUGAAUCAAUAAAAUAAAAUAUUAAACAGUAAUUACUGUAGCAAUUAUUGAGUAGUGCCUUCUUACGUAAGAAUCAAUAAUUGGUGCAAUACCGUGUGCUACUGUGUUUUAACGGUAACACCUACGCCGUUAUUUAUAAACAACUUAUACUUGUCAUUUUCUUCAUCCAAUCGUUUUUCGUUAUUGGGCCCACACAAGGCAGCGCCGUCGUACGAAUAUUUCCCGACAGUAAGAAUAUUCCACGACCAAACGAAUAUUCUCCGAUAAAAAAUAAAUAUUUUAUAUCCACUUGCUUAUUUGAAAUAUUUGCGCAUUUUACCCAUAACUAACCACAUUAAUCAAAUCAACCUUUACUAUUUCAAAAUAAUAAAUAUAGGAAAUUCAAUUUUAUUUAAUAAUAAGUUGGGAUCUUACACAAACCCUGUUUAGUCAACCAAUGUAUACUAAGCAAAUACAAGGUAACCAAAAUAACAUAAAAAAGUAACCAAAAUUCCAAAUUGAGGGAACAAGAAUGGUAUCCAAAUCAUAAGUUAACAGUAACAAAAAAAAUACUAAAAGAAGUAACCAAACAGUUAUAUGUUAGUAACCAAAACUUAUUUUAAUGGUAACCAAAAUAUAAACAAACUUUCCCUUCAUUUCCACAACAAACUUCUUCAAGUCCUUAACAGAAUCACCCUCCGUGAUUCUUUUCCUCUUUCCAUCCUUCUUCCUUGUAUCAACCAUUUUAUACAAAACAUAAAAACAACACAAACCCAAACAAUCAAUACUCUAUUCUGUUAGUAAACAACUUUAAUAGAUAAUAUAUUAAACUGUUUAGAAAAUACUCACUUAAAACAAUAAUAAACACCAGAAUCGAUCAAUGGAGAAGAAGAAACCAACUAAACCACUGUGCAACAGCAAUAAUGAGUAACAACGACAAUGACGAACAACUAAACGAAGAUGGCGAACAACUAAACGAAGAUGAUAACGAGUAACGAUCACGAAAAUGUAGAAUAAAUCACCGAAAACGAUCAAUAGAGAUGAAGAAGGCACGAACAGAAGAGAGAAAGAAGAGAGAAACAAGGGUUCAAUAUACAGAACAAGGGUUUGUAACUGAAGAGUCCAAAAUCAAAUGAUAGAUGGCAGUUAUCACACGUUUCAAAAUAAACCAACCCUAUUUUAAGAUGGACACUAAUUUGUCAUGUCAGUCCAUUAAUAUUAAUCCCUUAAAUUAAGAAUUCCUAAUUGUAUUAGUAUUAUAAAUAAAUAUGAUAAAAUGUCAUUUUUUUAUAAUUAUUUUAUAGAUAUAUAAUUAUUGUAAUUAUUUUUAAAAAUUUACUAAUAUAUGUAAUUUAUCCUUUUGUUUUUGUGGAUAGGAUAGAAUGUUUCAAAUAUAGUUUAGCAAUUGGCAAAAUGAAGGUAUGCAAAUGUACAACCUGACAGGCCUGCACAAACCCAUAUAUUUGACUAGUGGUAUGUCUUUAAUAAUGUAUAGCAAGUAUAACUAGGAUAGUUACUAUAAAAGGCUACUUAUCCAAUUUUCAAGUUGUAGUACCACAGAAACUUGCGAAGUCGCUGCACUCGAUCUUCUUUUCUAGGACUGGAUGGCCUUGUAAUUAAGUUCAAGCCGAUCCCAUUUGAAUGAUAUAGAAUACUACUUUAUGAGUAAGUUCAUAAGAUGAGAAAACAGUUCAGAUUCUAUUUAUAUUUAUUUGACUAAAAGUUUUAUUCGAUUUCGACUUAAAAAAUAAAUAAUUUAAAUACGAACAAAUUUUAAAAUUUGAUAAACUACUUAAAUCUUUUGAAAUUCUUAUUUUCUAUUGAUACUCGAAUUAUAUUCGUUCGAAAAGUUCAAACUAUUCGGGCUCUAUUCGAGAUUAUACUCGACUCGGUAAUAAAUGAAUCUCAAUCAAACCUUAUCUUAGAUUCAAUAAAUUUUGUGAACCAAAUCUAAACAAUUCAAUACUCGGCUUGACUCAAUUAGUAGUUGUAAUAUUGUCAUGUCAUGUAGUUUAAUUGCAUUGAACCAAUUAAAUAUAUCACCACAAUUUCAAAUUAAAUUUUUAUUUUUAAAAAUUACUAUAAACAUAAUUAAUUACCUAAGAUUAUUAAAAGAAGUCAUAAAAUAAUUUUUGUAUUUAAAUAAUUAAAUAGCUAUAUAUUAUAUCCAAAUCUCUAGCUAUCCCCCAUAGAAGAAGAAAAAAUUAAAUGGAAAAACUUCAAAUAUUGAUUAAAUUGAGAUUGCUAUUUGCAUUGCAUGAAUAACUUUAUGGUAAGUUGAUUAAUUGAUUAAUAUUAUACUGAAAUGCAAAGAAAAAUCACUUUUUUUUUUUAUAUGUGUAUCGACAUUAUAUUAAUCAAUUUAUCAAAAUUAACUUCACGUUCCAUGUACUGGGACUAGGAAGGAAUAGUAUUUAUCCACCCAGAGAGACACAUAAAUCUUGUGUGCAGGCAGAUUUUGAUUUUCUCACAGGCUUUAACCGAUCAUCAACACAUGACAGACGACGACACCCCCGCCCUCUCUUGCUCCAUGAGGAUUGAGGGGGGAGAAAAUGGUCCAUUUAACAAAUAAAGCAAGGGCAAAAAGGUCUUAAAAAUAACAUCCGAUUUGCUUAAUAGUAUCAUGAAUGCCGCCACGUCAGGUGUUAGUGGAGGAAGAGUGAGGGGACAAAUGUCUCAAAUAGGUCCGCCAUAACAGCCUAACUCAUGAGAACCAGCUCCCACGUUGUCCACUCCUUUUUUGGUUCCUCUGAUCCUCGACCUCUAUCUCUAUCUAGGGUUUCAUUCCUCUUCUUCCUCCUCCUCGGAAUUGAUUAGUAUAAAAUUUAUUUUUAAAUAUAUCGAUCAAUUAAUUAAUAGAAUAUCGUUAUUCAGACGAAAUUUUAUAUAUAUUAAUAUUAUAUUAAUCAAUUAAUCAAUUUAUUAAAAAAUAAAUUUCAUACUAAUCGGAUCUAUCCUCCCCCUCCUAUACUAUUUCAUUUUUCAGAUGAAUGAGAGAGAAAAAAAAGAAACAAAAAUAAAUAUCAAUUACAUUCAUAAUGAAUUCCAUGUAAUAGUACAUUAAUGAAAUUUUGUCUUUUUAAAAUUUAGUUGGAUAUCAAUUAAAUAUAUUUUUGAAGAUAAAUUAUUUUAUGUUUAAUUAUUUAUUUUAUAUAAAAGAAUUAUAGUGUUCACAAAAACUCGUCUCAUUUGAAUGUGAAAUUAAUAAACAAGAAAAACUUUUUAAAAAAUACUAAUAAUUCUAUUAAUAUACUAAUUCUCAUACUAAAUAUGUCACUCCUCACCAUCCUGGGCCAUGGUCCCACCAAGGGUCACAUGCUAGUGUCAGACCGGAGCCCACACACACCACACACGCACAGUCCACCGCCCCGAAUAUAUCUUACCUGGCUACAGCUCUGCAUAUCCAUCCCUGUUUCCCAUCAUUUUUGCGCCGCGUGUUUCUCACAUUCAAUUAUAGAGCGUAACAUAAAAAAUCCAACGACCUAGGGUUCCCUCCCUUCUCUCUUAUAAGAAAAACACUUUAUAUAUACACUGCCUCCUUUCGAUUUUGCUCUCUCAUCACUCUAAAAUUUUCAAACUAACUCUCUGCACCGCUGUGUUCUCCUCCUCCUCCUCCUGGGCCCUGAUAAAAGCAGCAGAGGUGGUGGGGGUUAAUAAUAAUAAUAAUUCAACCUUAAAGAAUCAGCAACCCCAUCACACACACAUGGUAAUCAAAGCUUUUCUUUCUAACUGUAUAUCAUAUUUUGUUUUUAAUUCUUUCUGUUUAUAUUUACCUCCCGUGAUUUCUUCAGAUGGCAGAGGAUUUGGACGACGGAGAGUUUUGGCUUCCCCCUAAAUUUCUUUCUGAAGACAACUUGCUCAUGGAAUUUAGUAAAAUCGCAGAGAAGAACAACAAUGGAAAGCUUUUUGGGGAAAACAAUGGCGGUUAUGAUUUCUCAUAUGGGUUUGGGUUGUACGGGCCCAACUCGGAUCUGAGUUCUCCCGUUGAGUCUGUAGUGGGUUCAACGGAGACUGAGAGUGAUGAGGAAGAGUACCUCUCUGGGUUUAGUCUGAAACUCGCUCAGUCUACUCUUUCUGAUGAUUUGUGGAAAGCAGACCAUGGUUUGGGAUAUUAUGAAAAGACCAAGGUACUUAUUAUCGCUAAAUUCAUUUUUUGCUUUUUAAUUGUGUUUAUUAGAGUUUUUUUCUUUCUAAUUUUGGGUUUUGUUUGUACAGUCCUCGAGCAUGGCAACUUCGCCUCAAUCGACCCUUUCCAAUGUUAUGGGAAGUGGAUGUGGAUGUAAGCAGCAGGGCUCUAGCCGAGGAAGCCCCAACUGCCCUUCACCGCCACAGUCUGCGGCGGUGAUAGGCAAAAACGAGACAGCUUGGGAACUUCUUUACGCCGCCGCAGGGGAGGUGGCUAAGAUGAGAAAGAUUGAAGCAGGGGCUGCUGCUAAUGGAUAUAACCGUAACAGAGCUCAUUUGAGUGCACCUCGAAAGCCCAGUCCCAUCUCUGUCCCUCUGCAAACUCCAAAUCUCGGAUUCCAUUCGAAUCAGUCUCUCAUAUUACGGCAGCAGCUCCAAGCUAACCAAGUAAGCUUAAAGUCCUUAAUCUUGCAAAUGUUUGAUACAUGUCCUCAAAGAACUGGAGAAACUAAUUUUUGCCUUGGAUUUCAGUUUCAGCAGUUGAAGCAGCAACAAAUGAUGAAACAGCAGCAGAGUCGACUGGAUUGGGGACUUCAGAUGGUUCAUCAGAACAGGGCUAGAAAUGGUAGUAAUGGGCGUCCACUGGGUUUAUCCCCCUCUGCUUGGCCUACUUUGCAACAAUCCCAGCUGCAACAGCCGACGCCGCAGCAGCCUGGCUCAGGGAUGAGGGCUGUAUUUCUAGGAAAUCCAGGCGCCAAACGUGAAUGUUCCGGUACUGGUGUUUUCUUGCCUCGUCGAGGCGGCACCCCUACUGAAACUCUUAAGAAGCCAGGUCUAUUUUCUCUCUCAUAGCUUUAAAGUUGGAUGAAUCUAUUGUCGGUUUCAUGUUUGGAUUUUUGUCAAUUUUCAACUGUUUUCCAGUUUCUUUGUUUUUUAGGGUUUAGAACACUUGAUAUUUGGAUGGUGGGGUUGGGUAUAAUGUUUAUUCUGAUUUUCACUGCUCUAUCCUUGACCCAGAUCUGAUUAAAAAAAAUUUGUUUUAUACUACAGGAUGUUCAACGGUCUUACUUCCCGACAGAGUGGUCCAGGCUCUGAACCUGAAUUUGGAAGCCAUGGAUGCUCCACCCCAGCUUCAGAUUCGAUCUAUUAGCAAUAAUACUUUGUUCUCUCCUAACUAUGGUAAGAUUUCCCCCUUGUUUAUAACUUGCACUGUAUUGUGGUUGGGUAAAUUUCUUCAACAAUGUUGAUUAACUUGUUUUCUUUAUUUGCCAAUUUUUAGAUGCAGCUAUGAAAUACCGAAACUAUGUCCUUAUGGCACAAGCUCAGCAGAGACGAAACGUGGCCCGGCCGCAGCCGGUGCAUAUGAAUAACGAGGCCCAGCUUCCUCAGGAGUGGACUUACUAACCCAUUUGACUUUUUUUGAGUUGGGGUGGGGGUUUUUCUAUAAUAGAUGUUUACAAAGGAGAAGAAAUGGAAAGGAAAGGAAAGAAGUUUGUUUUAUUAGGUUUGUGAUAGUGAGAUGUUUUAGUGGGAAAGUAUAGAUGGGAAAUAGAAAUAGUCCGAGGAGGAGGAGGAGGAGGAGGAGGAGGAGAAGAAAGGGAAAGGUUUUUUGGUUAGUGGUAGGGGAAAAGAAAAAUAAGGAAUUGCAAACAGCAGCUAGCUUUUUGUUGAUCACUUCAUCUUUGGUUGGGUUGGUUCAAAGAUUCAGGAGAGAAGAAAUUGGUGGAUGGCAGUUUCUCUUUUGUUCUCUGUUGGAAUUUAAAUAAAAUACGAAGUACUAGUAAAAUAGGGUUCUUCUUUUGGAGUUUUGAGGGUCUUGUUAUUUUUUGUUUGAAUUACAUCCCUCUCUUUUAACGUCAUAUUAUUAUUAUUAUUCUCAUUUCCCAUAGUGGUGGGUUUAUUAUAGUGUAAAAUGAGAAUGGCAAGUUUGUUUUGUAGAAAAUGAAUUCCAACCCGUCCACCACCUUGGCUGGAAUUAUCAUUAUCAUAUCAAGUAGUCUUGCAGCAAGUAUUUUUAGUACUACUUGUUGUCCUGAUACAACAGCCUACGUUGCCUUGUAUUGCUUGCUCUGCUAUUUUGACUCCAAAUUUUCUGUCUUAUUAUGUCACUUAUAUUUUAAUAUAAUAUGUCUUUUUAUUUAAUUUUAAAAUUAAUUAAUGUUAAAUAAGAGAUUAGUUGUCAAAAUAUAAGUAGAGGGAACAGAGUAUCUGUUUUUCAUUCUGGCUUAUUAUUGGAAUUAGCAAAGCCCGAAACAGGGCCUUUUUCCAUUGAUAAUUUGGGGAAUGUGCAGUGUUUCAUUAAUAAUGUCAUUUUAUUAUUAUUAUUAUUGAGAAUCAAAGGCAUUAGUGAUCAAGUGCUGGCGUGCGUGCCUUCUUCUCUUUGGAAAGGGAAUGGAAGCGAAGAUGAUGCUCAUCAACUUUUACUUUGCCCAAGGCACAUUGCAUUUGGAAGUCUUAUGUUUUACACUUGCAUAAAUGAUAAAAAGGUAAAAUGACGCAUUUAGGGCAGCUUAUUUCAGAUGCUGCUGACGAUGAUAUAUUAAUUUCAAGUUUAUUUUGUACAAAAGGAAUCUAAAAUGGUGUAAAAAUAUAAAUAAAUAAUUAACUUCACAUGUAUAUAUAUCUUAUUGACACUUAAUUAUAUUUUUUAAAAAGCUACAUUAUCAAUUUUUUUUAAAGAAAAUGACUAAAUUGUUGUUCUAUCUUUAGGGGGUACAAGGAUUAUUAUGGGAAAAAAAAUUUGUACAUGGAUAAAAUUGAAACCAACUAUAGAGUAUAGAAUACAAGGACCAAAAUAAUUGUUUAGCCCUUAAUUUCACAUGAAUCAAAUAAAGAGGAAAUAAAUUCACUUUUUUUUUGAUACCAUUUGAAUUACAAGAUUACAUAAUUAUUGUUACUUCAUUGUGAAGGUAGAGGGUUUUGUGAGCUGCGUAUGUGCGAGAAGUUCUCGCCGGUACAACCAUAAACUCUUACUACACACACUGUAUCGGGAUCGAAAUGCAAAAUUCUCGGCAAGUAAAAUGUAGGAUGUAAUUACUUGAUAUGAAUGGUGAUUGAAUCUAAAUUUUGAGUAAGAUAACUACUAGGUCAACAGAUAGUUGAAUAUAAGAUUCUAACAUGUAAAAAUAGAAAGAUAGUUAUGUUUGAAUGAGUCGCAUAAAAAUAUCAAAGUCUUAUAACUUUAAAUAUACUUAUUUAUUAUUAGAGAAUAUAUUUGGAUGGAUGGGGUAAGUGUAAGAAUAUGAGUACAAUUUGAAGAUAGAAAAGAAUCGAAUAUAAGACGUAAGCUAAUCGCGUACCAAGGUUUCUAAUUCAACUCAGCUCCUUGCAGCACUAGAAUUGAUAGGUCUACUCAAUUCUAUAUAUAUGAACUCAGAUUCUACAAAUAAACUUUGACUUUCUCUGCAAUGUCUUUUCGCAAAAGAGUAUAGUCUCAAUUAUUAUGCACAUAAAUACAAGUAGUAGUAAAAUGAGUACGACAAAGGAAUUUUCCCGUUAUACGCAAUACUCCAAACACAUAUUUCUUCUUACAAAACAAAACAAUUUAAGACAUACUUAUGGUUAAAGACAAAAUUUUAAUUUUAGUUAAAGGCAAAAUGAGUUUUCUUUUCAAUUUAUUUGAAAAUCGAUUCCAACCGUUCAAUUUGAUAAAAGAACGAACCAAACCCUUCAAUUUGGAGGCAUAUUGAUUUUUAGGCUUCGUAUAAGUUGUAUUUCUGUUUUGAUGGCGAGAAGAGUGGUGUUUUACCUAAAUACCCUCUUAUUAAAACUUUCAGCUGAAGAUUUGGCGUCAGAAAUUAGACUUAGGAUGCAUUUAAUCGAAAAAAUAACUUAGGGUGCAAAUCGAUUUUGGGGAAAAAAUUUAGGGUGCAAAUUGAAUUUUAGUCGUCUAAAUUCAGCGGCGAUGAAAAAGUCUUUGAAUUCAACGAUCAGUCUCUAAUAAUCUUCGACCUCUCUCCCACCUACUCUCAAUCGGUCUACCAAUUUGCAGGUAUUUGAAGCUUAAAACUCCAUUGCAGUCUGUAAUUAUCACCUAGGGGUUUCCGCCCCUUCACAAAACCUACUCUAUAAAUUUCAGCUUAGAAUUCUAGGCCGAUAUUCAAGAUUGCUGGUUCAGAAAAAUGUCUCCAAUGGCGGUCGAUGAAAAUGGUGAGCACGAAUACAAGCCGCAGAAGAAGAAAACUGAUGAAAAUGAAGAGAAAAGGUCAGUCUUUUACUUCAGUGAAGUCUAAGCUGCGUACAAUUAUCCCGUCCCACAAAAAGAGUCUUAUUCGACUCUGAUCCUAGUUAAAAUGCUGUGAAUUUAUUUUAAUUUUCGAAAUAACAAUUCUUUCUUAGUAAUAGUUUUUAAGCAAUUUACAAUAUUAACUACAUUAAUCAAAAUCAAAUAGACAUCAAUUUUAAAUUAUAGGCUUUCACAAAUUGACUAGGAUAAAAAAUCGAAGGGGACUUUUUCUGUGGGACAGAGGGAGUAUAAUAUAAAGUGUGUGCUUAUUUCUUAUUUGGAUGAAUAGGAAAAUGAAGAUUGUGCCUGGAAGUUUGAUGAAAGCUUUAAUAAGGCCUGGUAGCAGCGAACCUACACCUACUGAUGGUGAUCAGGUCAUUAGCCUGCCGUAAUCAUUAGUUUAUGGAUAUUUCAUCAUAUGACUCGUAAAUUUGAUUUAAUCUAUUUUAUUGUGUAUUACUAAUCCAAGUGUCUAAAUUUGUCCCUUGAAAUUGAUCAACUGUUCAGCGUCCAUAAAGUUUAUGAUAUUUAAGCAUGAAGGAGAAAUUGACGUGGUAUUUUGUAACCUUGCCUUGUUUUACACAGGUUAUAUAUCAUUGUACUAUCCGCACACUAGAUGGAGUUGUUGUUGAGUCUACUCGUUCGGAAUUUGGUGGUGAGUUCUAAGUAUUAACUUUGUUAUUGCUUCUCCAUUGGAUGCAAUAUUUUGUUCUACCUAAAUCAAAGGGUAGGCAGACUGAUGCUAUGAGGCCUUGAAUGUAAUUGACUACUUUCAUUUUGUUGAGGUGGUAGUAUUCAUCCUUUAGGUAUGAGCAUUGCAUUGAAUUUUAUCCAAAUGUUCUCAAUGUUCUAAAAGGCGUUAGGCGGGAGGCGGACGGCCGUGGGGGCCUAGCGCCUAGGGGGCCUAGGCGGGGCUUGGGCGGGGCCUAGGCGGGAAUUUUUAUUUUAAGUCAAUUUUAAUAUUUUUAUCUUACAUUUAUUCAAACAAAAUAAUAAUAUAUAGCAAAACAGUCUAUAAGAUAAUAAAAGCCUUUGCUUAAAGUUCAAACAUAUAUCCAUAUUGUCAAUGUCAAAGUUCAAACGCAAACAUGCAAUUGUUGAAAGUUCAAACAUAUCUUUAACAUAUUAGUUUUAUUCAUAAACAAGAUUGCUAUUAAAUAAUAAAAUUUAAAAUUCAAGAAUUUAAUUCAAUAUUAAAACUUAAGAAAUUAAACAUAAAUUUAAGAAUUAUAUUGAAUUAAACCAAAUAUUACAAAUGUAUCAUCAUUUAUAUAAUUUGAAGUUGGUACAAGUUCAAAAAAUUACAACUAUAAUAAAAUUAUUCAUUUUGACUUGAUAUUGUUCACUACUUGUUGUGAUUUGAUAUGCUACAAUAUGCAUUAUGAAUAUGGUAAAUCAUUAAAAAAAUAAAUAUAUCAAGAUCUGAUUUGAGUAGUUAUUAAAAUAAAAAAAAACUCUCCGCGCCUAGACCUCACCUAACUCGUCUAGGCCCCGCCUAAUUUUCUAGAGGGAUUUUUUGCCGCCCUGGGCCUGAGUGAGGCGCCAGGGGGCCUAGAGCCUAGGCGGGGAUUUUUAGAACACUGAAUGGUCUUCAUAUACUAGCCUAUAAACUGAAUAUUCCACCACUGCAUUAUUAAAAGAGUGCUUGAGAACUUCUAUACUUUACUUAUUUGCUUAUAUAGAGAAAUUCAAAGACAGACUUUUGUAAUAGUUAAGAUAUUUUAGCUUCUAAAAAGUUGGAGCCGUUGACUCAAUCUCAUCAUUUUUCCAUAUGUUGCAAAGUUCUGCCCUUUAUAACUGUAAAUUCUUUAAUAUUUCUUUGAAAUAUACAUAACGCACUACAUUUUUGUUCAAGAUAUAAUAAAUUUUGACACAAUUUUGGCAGAAACACAUGGUUCUACUUUGGUGAUUUUCCAUGUUAGAAUGUGGAAAGUCUUUUGAUUAAUUAUUUUAGGCUGCACUGAUCACACUUCAGUGUUCACUCUGUAUGUGCUAUAUUUACAGGUUUUCUAAUAUCUGUAAGUCCUAGUUUUAUACUUUUCUAUGUUGUUAUUUAGCUUUUAGGGGUGAGACAUUUCAGGUUAAUUAUGUUUUUUGGAACUUUUGCCGGUUGUUUCAAAUUCAUUAAUUGAUACUUUUUUCCAAUUCAGUUUUUUUUCCCUUUCUCUUUUUUCCUUAUUCAUUGAUGUUACAGGCAAGGGUAUCCCAACAAGGCAUGUUUUGGGUAAAAGCAAAAUGAUAUUGGGGUUGCUAGAAGGUAUUCCCACAAUGAAGAAGGGUGAAGUAGCUAUGGUAAUUAUUUGAAUAUGAUAUUUGUUGAUAUGAAAGUCGGAAAUACUUUGAGUUGUAUAGGAAAAUCUUAUUGUAUUCUAUUUGAUCAUUUUGGAGCUUUUGCCUUAGCAUGCUAAGAUCUUUUAAAUUUCAAAUAAAAUUUCCACAUCAAUCGCUCAGUUAUUUAGUUUUCACAUUUUCAUGGCUACAUGCCAGAUUAUAGAAACAAGCUGCUGUUAUACAUUAUGUAUGCAACCGUUUUCAGUGGGAUUACAGGCAAAUAUAUUCAACCAAUUGCCUCAAUACGUUUAAUGGAGCUAAUUUGACAUUUUCCGUAACAUUGUUUAAGCUACUAAGUGAACCAGUUUCUUGAUAUACCAAGUGAAAAGGCUGAAUGAGUUGCAUAAAGUGGUAAUCAAACAGCUUAACAAAUAUUGGCUCAUGUGCGUGGGUUUGCCCCCUUUUGGCGCUUAUAAUGGACUUGUUAACUAAUGAAAAAACCCUCAAGAUUUUGGUAUAUGAUGGAAUUUUUUGGUGCUUAACAUAACUUUUGAUGCCUCUUGUUUCAGUUCAAGAUAAAACCGGAAUUCCACUAUGGUGAGGAUGAUUGUCCUGUUUCAGUUUCUGAUGCCUUCCCAAAGGACGCUGAACUUCAUUUUGAGACUGAGAUGAUUGAUUUCUCUAAAGUGAAGGCAAGAAUGUUAGAUUCACUUGCAUAAUUUUCUUAUAUUUAGUUUUGGAUUUAUUGAAUCUUGCCCUUUUAUGUCAUUUCUGCCCCUCUAAUUAGGGUCUGAUUUUAACUUCCAAAUACUGCCCUCUUUAUCUUUAUUUUGUGGAAACUUAUAUGUUAGGUUAUGUUUAUUUAGAAACACAAAAUAUAUAGUGAACAUAAAUUAUAUUAAAAAAAGGGUAUUUUUUAAAUAAAUUUUUCUUGAUCAAUUAUGCCCAUACGUCUCUAUUUAUUUUUUCUGUUAUAUAUUCUUGAUGCAAGCAUCCUAAUGCAGACAAACAUCUAAUGCAGACAAACAUCUUCUUAGUUCGAAACGUUAAAAAUAAAGGCACACACUUCUCGUUUUUUUGUGUUUUUUCCGUUUUCGGCUGAAUCUCCGGUUUUUAAUGUGCUUUUCUGUGAGUUUACGACUCAAACUUUUCUGUAGUCGUUGAAAGCUGGACAUAGUAUUGUUUGGGUUUCAAUCCCAAAGUAGGUCAUACUUUCACUGCUUCAAUUGGGGGGAGGGGGAUUUAUGGCUUGGUACUUGAGAUAAACUAAAAAUUGUUGUUACACAUAUUGCUUUAUCAUUCUGUUUCACUGGAUAUUGUUAUCUUGACUAAGUUAAUUAUUGUUUUCCUUAUGUUGUUGCGUUUUACUUUCUGUUCCUGUAUAUCUGCAUUGCUUAUGUUCAGAUGUAUGGUUCUUCUCAUUGUUUAGGAUCAGAUAUAUACUUCUUCAAACAGUUAUUUAUUAUAAUCCUUACUUAGUUUUAACCUUGAAUAUGUGUGUUUCCAUUUCCAGGUCGUCAGUGAAGAUUUGGGAGUUCUAAAGAAGGUAUUUAAAUCUAUGACAAAAUGCUUCAUGACUGUAUUGAAGUUAUUUUUUUUUAUUUGGGUUGUUUUUGGCAAUCGUAGUGUAGGGCUUAUGGGGAGUGUGAGAGUUGUCCGUAUGUUUAGUCUUUGAACUACAUUGAUGCACAUUUUUUGCUUCAUGCAAAUUUCUAUUCUUUGUUUUUUGUUGGAUGUUGAAGUGCUUAAGAGUAUGUUAUUAUCCAAAUAUUUUGUUUGAAAUGAAGAAAGGUGAUAUUUACUUUAUUAAAAUUACAUAAUUAAAGAAAUAAUAAAACAAUUAGGUUAGCCUUUUGUCCUUGGUGAAUCACGUGCAUGGGCAAGGAUCUGUGGGUUUACCUUGUGCAUGCCUGAAGGGUAGCGGUUGGGAGUUCCUCUAUUACCAGAAAAUGGUGUAUGUCAAGGAUAAUAUAUUUCUUUUCUUCAUGUGUAAUUUAAGAAUGUUGCCAACCAGUUUAAUGCAAUCUGAAACAUAUGCUUCAUAUCAAUAAAUUUUGAUUUAGUGAACGUUAAGAAGCAUGAGAAGAAUACGUGGAACAUAUUGGUAUCAGUCAUCAGUUUGCAUGUAAGUUAUUGGAAGGAGCAAGUAAACUGAAGUUUGAGUUAUGAAGUAUUCUACUAGUGCUAAUACUAUCUGUAGGAAUUAUGUGCCAAGUGUAUGUAAAACAUGCAAAUAAUAAUUGUCCGGCAUUUCCUAUAUAGGUUAUGGAUGAAGGACAGAGUUGGGAAUUACCAAGGGAACCUUGUGAAGUAAAAGUUUGGUAACAAUUUUUUUUUGGUUAUUUGUCUUUGCCUUUUACUUUAUGUUAAUAAUGGACUUAACUACAUGUAUUCUUAAUUAACUAUAACAUUGACUAUAUCCAUGAUUGUUUCUAGGAUUUCUGCGAAAACAGGGGAUGGAAAAUUGAUUCUAUCACAUACACAAGGAGAACCAUUUUUCUUCACCCUUGGAAAAUCUGAGGUUGGUAAGACAUUUUUGUUUCUUCUUAUUCGAUCUUUCCCUUUUUCUUAUUUGUCCCUUUUCUCCUUAUAAAAUACUUUAUUUGUUCCAAAAAUAAGAUCAUUAUUAAUUUUUUCAAGUCAAUUUAAGACAUUUUUGAACUUGAAAAUGACAUGGACUCCAAUAAUUUUAGUCAAUACAACGAUUAAUAUUAUAAACUAUCUAAAAAGUAUUGCUCAUUGUAAUAUUUAUUGUUUCAUAAUUUUAAUAAAUUAUCUCAAUUUUGACUUUGAAAAUAUCUCAAAUUGACUCUCAAAAGUCAAUAACGAUAUUAUAAAUUGGAACAAAGGGAGUACUAAAUCUGUUUCCUCCAGCAAUGCUGCCUAAUUCUUUAAGGAAGAGGGCUUUCUUUUUUCCUUUAACUCAUAACUCAUUAAAUAUGUAUGAAAGUUAUAGCUGCUGAGUUUAGCUAUGCAGAUGCACCUUUUGUUCAAUUAAAAUGUUGAUCUGUGUCUUCUUGUUGUGAUUUCUAUUACUCGUCAUGUUUAAAUCAGGUACCUAAAGGUCUGGAGAUGGGAAUAGGAACAAUGUCACGUGGAGAAAAGGCAGUAAUUUAUGUAACUAGCAAAUACCUAACUCAGUGCUCAUUCAUGCCCAGCAUAGAAGGUACUGAGGAAGUUCAUUUUAAAGUGGAGCUUGUCCACUUUAUUCAGGUGCGCAAAGUUAUUUUAUGCUGUAAAUUAAAGUCAUCUGUGGUGUCAUAUGCAGUUCAUCCUCUUGAAAUUCUUCAACUUAUAGUCCUGAUUAGUCUUAUUUUAUUCAUUUAAUAAGAACGUGCAUUCUGAGUAGACGAGUAAAGUUUAAUGGGUGUCUUUGUGUGAAAGAACUUCUUUCAUAUGCAACGGCCACUUUGAUCAUAUUGUCUCAGUAAGGUUAGACUGAGAUGGCUUAGUAAGAUUUCCAGUUCGAGUGAAUUAUAUUUUGAAGUUGAAUGCUAUAUAUUUUAAGUCUCUCUCUCAGUGAAUCCUGUUAAUUCUAAUUUUUGUGUGGUAUGAUUUGUCAUGGCUAGACACGUACUAUAGCAAUACCUCAAUUGGCGCUCCCUUAGCAUUCUUCAUCAUUUGCUUUGGCGUAGAAUGUAGAUUGCCUUGCUCCAAAAUGUCUCGAGUGGUGAUAUACUUCUCUCAUAUUUCCUUUUUGUGCUUUACCAAAAUUGUUCAAGUACUUUGUGUGAAUCUUUCUGCAACACUGAGGUGCCUUGUUAUUAUCAGCAGGGUAUUGCCUGGGAUGCUCCAAUAAGCAUUUCAUAUAAUUUGUCAAAUGUUUAUAGAGGACUGAAGUAUUUGCGCCUCUUUCUGUUGCACUUUCUUCAAAAUCAAGUUAUAUCUACUAUAUACAAUUUGACAUGGAUUUCCUGAAACCUGGGUUACACAUUUGCAGGUGCGGGAUGUGCUUGGAGAUGGGCGUCUAAUGAAACGCCGCAUCCGUGAUGGAAAAGGUGCCAUUUCAAGCUUUUACUUAAAUCAUUACAAAGAGAAUAUAAUAUUCCGUGAUAUUUCUAUUUUCUUUUAACAAACAGAAUUAUCGUUUAGAAUCUUUAUAAUGCUGGAUUUUUAAAAUCAAAUGCUUCAUUCUGAAAACAUGAACAAUAUAGUGUAUAAUUUCUUCUUGGAUACCACAACGAAGUUGGCAUCAUAGUGCAUUUUAGCCCUACUGUUUUUUUAUUUCAAGUUGUUAGUUACUAUUUCUGCAAUUCUGCUACUGUUUUGUCAUUCUUCCUUGUCCUAAUUCUUACUUUGGUGGCUCAUCUUUGUAAAUGCUGGAAUUUAAUUAUGUGAUCCAUGGGUUUUCAGAUCCGGACCGGCAGUCGAACCGGAAAAAACUGGAACGGGUUGGCCCUCUGGUCCGAUUUGGAUCAAAGAUCCAAUUUUGUCCAAAAAUUGUUCAAACCCGACGAACCGGCGGUUGAACCGCCUGAACCAGUGAACCGGUGACUUGUUUGCGAGUUGGACCGGUUCCCUACUUAAAUUAAAGAAAAAAAAUUAGGACUUCAGCUCUGCACUUCUGCUCCUUCUCCGUUGCCCAAAUUAAUCAUUAAUGUAUGACUUACUUUAAUAAAUAACACAAAACUACUCACUUUCCAGACCCAUUAUUCAUACCCUAUAAGCCUUAACAAUAUUUACAAAUAAUAAUCACAGAAGAAUGACAAACUAAUAUCCAGAUCUAAGCCAAAACAUAAAGUCAAAAAGAAAAGAAGAAGAAAUAAAAAGAAAAAGAAGAAGUAUUCAUAAAAUUUCAUCAGUGUCAAAAUAAUCGCCGAAGAAAUCCCAAAGUUUAAGAGCAAAAUCAAAAUCAAAAUCAAAAGCUAGCAUUUUAGAUCGGAUUAAUCAAAAGUUGUUGGAUGAUGGAUGUGUAUCUUUGUGUGUAUUGCCAAUUUGGGGGUUGUCGUUGGAAUGAUAAAAGUAGAGUAUGUAUAUUCCCGUUAGAAUGAUCAACCGUUGUUGAAACUUGGAAUGAUAAGAUUUUAAUUAGAAUAUGUCAAAAGCAUAUUCCUUGACUAUAAUAUGAUAAAAGAAGGAGAGUAUGUAUCUAGACUAUAAAAGAAGGGGAUUAUUUUCUGUUUAAAGAUUUUAAUUAAAAUAUGCCAAAAGCAUAUUCUCUUUUGACUAUAAUAUGAUAAAAGAAGGGGUUUAUGUAUUUAGGCUCUAGAGAUGUUUAUGUUUAUUUGUGUUUGAUUUUAUCACUCUUGAGUUUUGAGUUAUAAUCAUGAUUUAAUAUCUUUCUUUUCAUAUAAAUUUAGUAUUUAUUUGAAUUAUAUAAAGUAUACAUUAUACAAAUUUGUUUAGCUUUUUUUGGUAGAUAAAUUGAUUAAUUUUACAUAUUUACUAAAUAUUAUAUAUAAUAAUUAAUAUAUUUAAUUAUUUUUUAUAUAUUAAUGAUGUCAUUGUAUCAAUAACGGUUGGACCACUAGUUAGAUCAGUGAAUAGACCUGGCAAAAGUGGCCUGGACCCGCAGGCUCGUCUGGCCAGCCCGCAAAAAAUUGGGCUAUGGGCUUUAUUAUUGCAGCCCAUUUAAAGUUGGACAAUUUUGGCCCAACCCAUUUUUGGCCCGGCUCGUGAUAGCCCGGUUCGCGGGUGAAUUAUUUUUUUUAAAAAACAAAAACAAUGCUACUUGUGAGGGUUGAACACAAGACCUCCAAGUCAUUAAAUAAGAGUUUAAUCCAACUUAACUACAACAACUACUUGUUUUAACAUGUGUCUAAAUAAAAGUAAAAAAAAUAAAAAGACAACCGUUUAAACAAAAUGUACAAUCUCUAGUUUUAAUUUGUUUGUCUUUUUAAAUAAGUUAAAUUUGAAUCAUAAUUAAAAAUAUUUAAUUUAAAUUAUUUAAAAUUUAAUUUUAUCCAAUACAUAAGUUUCUCAAACAUCAAUAUCAUUUAAAAAAGAUUCUCCAUUUAACUUUAAAAAUUAUAUUGAAAAAUGUAUUUAUUAAACUCUAAAUAAUAUAAAAUUUUGAAUUUUAGAUAGUUUUACUAUAUUCACAGUACUCUAUAUUGAUUAAAAUUAAAUACAUUUAUAUUAAUCCUAAAUUUAAUCAUAUCAUAUAUUUAUUUUAAAAAGUUAAAAUAACUCUUUUUAUCAAUCGGAUGUUGUAAUAAUAUUACUGAUUUGGGCAUGGACAUACGAAGUACUUAAAUUAUUUAAUUUAAAUAUAAUAAAAAAUAUAUUUCCAACUUUGCCCCUACAUCUGAGGAAAAAGAAAGUAAUAUAUUUUUAUUUUUAAACUGCUUGUAUUUUUAUUGUUCAUCUUGAUUGUUGCUAUCUACUUGUCACCAAAUAUACUUAUAAUUUCUAUUAAUCUCAAAAUUUUAUAUUAUUUAGAGUUAAAUAAAUACAUUUUCCAAUAUAAUUUUUAAAGUUAAAUGGAGAAUCAUUGUAUAAAUGAUAUUGGUGUUUGAGAAACUUAUGUAUUGGAUAAAAUUAAAUUUUAAAUAAUUUAAAUUGAAUAUUUUUAAUUAUGAUUCAAAUUUAACUCGUUUAGAAAGACAAACAAAUUAAAACUAGAGAUUGUACAUUUUGUUUAAACGGUUGUCAUUUUAUUUUUUUUACUUUUAUUUAGACACAUGUUAAAACAAGUAGUUGUUGUAGUUCAGUUGGAUUGAACUCUUAUUUAAUGACUUGGAGGUCUUGUGUUCAACCCUCACAAGUAACUAUAUAGUCUUUAUUCUUUUACUUUGAGUUAAAUUGACAAAUUGUGUAGCAUGGGAAAAAAAAAGGAAGAAGCCCGCGGGCCGGCCCAAUCCGGGCCACUGGCCUAACAAUUCUAGCCCAAGAAAAGCUGGGCCAUUUUAGCCCGACCUAAAUUUGGCCCGGCCCGGCCCGUUUGCCAGGUCUACCAAUGACCCAUUUACCCUGGUUCGAUGACCGGUCCGGUUUAAAAACCUUGCUGUGAUCUAUGACAAGAGCCUACUAUCACGGCUAAGCAUAUUUGAUGUUUGAUUCUUUCUUGAUUCUUCAAAAUAUGUAGGUGAAUUUCCUAUGAAUUGCCCUCUUCAUGAUAGUGUACUACGUGUCCAUUACAAGGGCAUGCUUCUUAAUGAGGAAAAGACAGUCUUCUAUGAUACAAAAGUCGAUAACAAUGGUCAGCCUUUGGAAUUCAGCUCAGGAGAAGGGCUUGUAAGUUCACUUUUGUUAAUAAAGCAUAACUUGACAAGUUUUCAAUCUUAUUUAUUGAUAAGGUUUGGGUCGCUGAUUAAUACGUCUAUAUCAAUGAGGCAUUCCCCUGUUUCAACAAACAAAUGCACUGAAUAACAGUAGGAGACAUAAGCUGUAAUGUAUGAAGCCCUGAAUAUAGGCUGUCUAACUUUUUUCUUUUAUUCUUUCAUUUUGUAUACCUUCCAUGUUGGUACCCCCCUCUUCUU